UUUUUUUUUUUUUUUUUGGCCAUAUUUGAGAAAGAUAAAAGAGAUUUUUCGAGAAGAAACAUGGGUGGACCUUUUGUUGUGGGAGGAGGACGUGUGGUUUGAGUUUGCUUCUUGUUUUUUUUUUUAUGACUUAUGCGUGUGGUUGAGUUUAAGAUGGCAGAGCAGACACGGCAAGAGAUGGACCCCACUGGAUCCGAUGCAACGUCGUUUUCAUACGUAAAAGGUUUCGGUCAAAGGAAGAUUCUAUUCCCACCAUUGCAUUUGCAAUGGAGAUAGAGUUAGAAUCAUUUUUGUAUAAAAUUUGCAUGUUGAUUAGAAUGACAUGAAAAAUACUAAUAAUUAUUUUUUUAAUUAUAUAAACCCAUAAAUUAUGGGCUAUCAUGAUUUUAUAUAACUAAUCUUUUUAUACCACAUCAAUUUAUUUUAUAUAAAGUAAUUAUGAAUUUAUCACUACAUCUAUGGUACAAUUUUUCUCCCACUCUUCCUUUUAGAAAAAGAUGGAGAAUGAGAAGAAAUAAGAAACGAGAUUGAAAAAGAGCCAAAAAAAAAAAAAUUUGGAGAGCAGGAGGGGAGUGGACAAGAAGAGACAGAAAAUAAAUUUUAAAUUAGGGUUUAUAUGUUGAACUUCGGAAACCCAUAAUCAUUAUUAUUUUCAGAAUAUAACUGGGGUAAGGCACAAUCAGGGCAAGAUAGUUUUGUCCAUAAUAUUAAUUAUAAUAACACUUUGCAAGAAAAAAAAUUGAAAUUAGUUUGAAACCGAACCUGUAAUUUUAUUAAACAAAUGUGUAGACUCACAGAAUGUAAAUCAGUUUCGUUUAUUUUAUUAAACAAAUGUAUAGAAGCAGUUUCCUUCCAAGCUGCAGAAUAAUCAAUUUCGUAGUGGACACGGAGCAUCAACACAUGCUAAAGUCUGAAUUAUUAAAAAAAAAAAAAAAAUUUGAUCAUUUUGCUGAAUUUAAUUAUUUACAAAGCACCUCACUUUAUAAUUUGUCUAUUUGAUCAUUUUGCUGAAUUUAAUUAACCACUCUUCUUAAAAAAAAAAAAAAAAUUUGAUCAUUUUGCUGAAUUUAAUUAUUUACAAAGCACCUCACUUUAUAAUUUGUCUAUACAGUCAACUCCUCAAACUCUUCAAACCACUCUUCUUGACCACUCCCAUUUUACUUUCUCAACUUUGCUGUAGCUCUGAUGUAUUCUUUGAUAUGUUCUAGAAUUCCUCAUAUAAAACAAACAUAAUUUUUUUUUUUUUUUUAAAGUCCAAAACACAAGCACCAGUUCACAAUUAAAAUAUCAAGAAAUUGAUGACCACUAUGGAUAAAUAUUUUAUAUCAGUUUUUACCGCUUGGGUUUUAGCUACCCUUUUUGUUGCAUCAUCGUCACUUGCACAACAAACCUGUAUUAUUGAGUUCAUUUCUCCACUGGACUUAUGAUCCAUCAACAAACGUUGUUGAUCUUGCUUUCCGCCGCAGCACCCCAUCAUCUCAAUGGGUAGCAUGGGCCCUGAACCCUUCCGGCCAAAGAAUGGCUGGCUCAAAGUGUCACGUGGCAUUUCGGAAUUCAACCGAAGCCAUUCGUGCUUAUACCUCUCCCAUUGGUUCUGGGACACCCACGCUGCAAGAGGGUUCUUUGAGCUUUAGAGUUACAAACAUUACAGCCACUUUGGUGGGAAAUGAGUGGACUAUUUUUGCCAGUUUGCAUCUCUAUAGUGAUUUGUUAUCAACCAACCAAGUUUGACAGGAAGGUCCAAUGAAUGGAAACAUUCCUGGCAGCAGGCAUCCUAUUACUGGAGACAGCGCGAGAUCAGUUGGAACCAUUGAUUUUCGGACAGGACAGAUUGCAUCAAAUGCCGGAGAUUUCGACUCCAGACAAAGGAAAAGAAAUGUGAGUGCUUGAUUGACAGAGUUUUUGAAUUUUUAUUUGAUGAUGAUUACAUUUCGCAUGCCUUGCUUAAGCUGCAAGUUUCACCAAUUUUUAAGGUUCAUGGGGUUCUAAAUGCGUUGAGUUGAAGCAUUCUAAUGCCAAUGGGGGCUAUGAUGGCCAGAUACCUUAAAGUGUUCAGGUUUGGAAACCCAGCAUGGUUUUACCUUCAUGUUGCUUGCCAAGUUUCGGCCUACAUCAUUGGUGUUGCAGGAUGGGCAACUGGCAUCGAUCUUAGCAGCGGAAUUAGUUCACUGAAUCGCGAUUAUAUACAUAGAAACAUUGGCAUUGCCCUAUUCUUCCUUGCGACAGUUCAGGUGGAUACUAAUAACUCACUUUUCGUUUAGCAUAUUCAGUUAUUUACUUGUUUGCUAAGCUUCUUAUAUUAUUUGCAGGUGUUUGCAUUGCUUUUGAGGCCAAAGCCAGAUCACAAGUACAGACUGUAUUGGAAUGUCUACCAUUGGGCUGUUUGGCUAUGCUAUAAUUGUUACGAGUGUGUUUAAUGUGUUGAAGGGUUUAAGCCUUUUGGAUCCUGAGAUUCAAUGGUGGCAUGCAUACAUUGUCACUGCCAUAUCAUCGGGCAUCAUCUCAGCUGCUUUGGAAGCAAUUACAUGGACAAUUGUUGUAAAGAGGAAGAAGGCAAAUGAAGAGAAGCAAAAUCAGAGAACCAAUGGAGUAAAUGAAGCAAAUGGUCAUGCUGCCAGGACAGUACGGCUAGAGCCAGAGGUGUAGUUUAAUGUGUAAAUUGUAAUAGAAGUUUCAGUUUGUGAGGAGAGGAGUGUUGCUGGAGAUUGAAAUUCUUCACUGCAAAUAAAGAUGCAAGACACCGUUGUCAAAGUGUAUUUGUAUUUCAUUCUUUUCAGUAAAUUUCUUCCUCCUCAUUCUUUAAUUUAGAGCUUGGAUUAAGUUUUGGUGAUGGUAACUCCUUUAAGCCUGAAUUUUAGUUUGAGUUUCGCUUGGCUUCUUAAAUUCUUAGUGAAAAGUGAAAAUGCUUUCACAUCUACAAGUUUUGUAUUGCAGCAUAUGUGGUGCUUUUUUAAAUGAAAUUACCAAAUUAGGAUAUACUAUGUCGAUUUAUAUCAACUGCGUCCCCGACCCAGUGACCCUAUACUAAAAUAUUCCCUUCUUGAAAUUGUGAUGGUUAAAACACAAGAUUACUUGGGUAAAUUAGUCAUUUGAACAUAAACUAUGGAAUAUUUUAUACAAAUGGAAAAUUAUCUCUACGGUAUUCUAGUUUCCAACUAUUAAUUUUAAUGCAGAGUUAUUGAAAGUCACUUGCCCUUGGUCAGAGCUGCUACCCGCAUAAUGCGGGGGACUCAGUUAAACCCCUCACAAAUACAUUGUGGAGGAUAAUUCUUUCCUUAAUUAUAUUACAGAGUUAAAUAGAUGUAAUUUCCUCCCUUACGAAAUAUAAAUAAAGUAGAUGUCUUCGAAUAUUAAUGAAAGUAAAAAAUUUGUAAUCAUCAUCAAAUUACAGCCACUUUGGUAUCAUCAUCAAAGACGAGAGAAAGUGUAUUGAAAAGCCACUUUGGUAUCAUCAAUUUUAUCGCAGAAUUAUUGUCAGUCACUUGAUCUUGCUCAGAGCUUCUACCCCCACAAUGUGGGGUCUGUAGUUAGAGCGCCUACAAAUGCGUUGUGAAGGUUAAUUCUUUUCUUAAUUAUUUUGUAUACUUAAAUAGAGGUAGUUUCCUCUUUAUAAAAUGUGAAUGAAAUAGAUGUCUCUCGAAUAUUAGUAAGGUAAAAAAUUUGGACAGAUUUAAUGUAAAUUAGUACCAAUAAUAGUUUGAUUGUAAAUAUCAAUAGUAAUAAUGAAAACUAAUCUCAGUAAUAGUCUAAUAAUAAAUAUCAGUAUAAAUCUCAUGAAAUAUGAAUUAUAAUCUUAUUGUAAUCUCAAUGUAAAAAAGAAAAAAAAUGCACAGUUAUUGGAAGGGCUCUCCCAUAUUCUUUAAUUAUUUACUUUUCUUUCACGCUAAAUAUAGAUUUGAUAAUCUCACAUAAAGAGAAAAUGCAAAUUCAAUUUAUCUUAUAUUCCUCAAGAGGCAUAAAAAAAUUAAGAAAAGGUAAAAAAAAUUACUGGGUCCGAUUAUUUCUCAAAAUUUUCCCCAAAAAAUUUUCCAUACCUUAAACCAAAAAAGAGAAGACAAGAAGAAAUAACUUAAAAAUAAAUUCUUUUUCAAAAUUCUUUUCUUAAAAAAAACUAACUCCUCGAGUGAGCAAUAUUGACCCGGCUGAGGGCCUGAGGAAGACACGUUCUCACAUUUUUUAAAUUUAUACCAUUUCUUUUUUCUUUUUAAUUUCAUCCUUCAUUUGAUAACUAGUGAAUACUAUUUUAUAGCUUGGUCAAAAAAUAGUGAGACCAAAGCUUCGGUCAAUGAAGAAUUUAGGCAGCACGAUUAUGCAUCAAGAUGAAUUUAAGAAACUAUACAAUAAUUCUGUCUAGAGUUCUGGUCAAAAGGUAACUAUGACUGAAGAAAAAUACAAAACAUAUUUACUUACGUGACAUGUCACACUAUUGAAUUUUAAAAAUCAUAUGCUAGCAAUUCACGUAACAAUAUUUUUAAUCAGGGCAAUAUCUUAUUCUUUAGUUGUACCAAAUAAAUUUCCAAAUUUCAGAAUUAAAUUAGGUGUAUUGUUAGUUGAAAAUUUCGUACAUGCGUUCACCAAUUAUGCCAACCUUCUUCUUAUCAUGACGUGUGUGCAGGUGGUCAUGGGAAUACAGACCAAUUUUUUUUUGGAAAUUUGAUUGAUGACCAAGAAAAAGAAAAAAUUAUAAAUAAAAAAAAGCAAGUGUGAACAAAGAGAAGAGUUGGAAAAUGGAGACUCAGCUUGAUCUUUCAAAAGUUAAGAAAAAUAACUAAACAAAGACUUGGAAAAAGAUUCACCCAUCAUCUGGACUUUCUUGCAUGCUUCCAUUACAGAGUUGUUAGAGGAAUAAGUCAACAAUGACAAAGCCUUUUGAACCCAUAAAAGAAAAAAGAAAAAAGAAAUAUAACUUCUAUAAAUUCUAACAUCUGUGUUACACAAACCGCAGACUCUUCAUUUGGAAACAUUUUGCCUUGGGAAAACACUUCCAGUGCUUUCGGGAACUUGUUUUCAUUUCAAGGAUUUGAUCUGCUUCCUCUAGAUCAACAUGGUGAACAAAGCUAUAGCAUGUGCUUUGUUCUUUAGUUUCGUUGCUGCUCUUUUUGCUUCAUCAUAUGCACAACAAACUUGCGGACGCCAGGCUUUCAACAACAACAAAGUAUACAGUACAUGCACAGAUCUUCCCGUGCUGAAUUCAUUUCUCCACUGGAAUUAUGAUCAGUCAACAAACACCGUCGAUCUCGCCUUCCGGCACACGACCACGAGCUCAUCCCGAUGGGUGGCAUGGGCACUGAACCCAUCAGGCCAAAGAAUGGCAGGCUCACAGUGUCUUGUGGCCUUUCAAAACUCAACUGGGCGUCCCGUGGCUUAUACUACUCCUAUUGGUUCUGGCUCGCCGACGCUGCAACCGGGUAGUUUGAGCUUCCAAGUGCCAAAUAUUUCAGCCACUCUUGAGGGAAAUCAAUGGACUAUUUUUGCAACUUUGCAGCUUACUAACAAUUUGUUGUCAACUAACCAAGUUUGGCAAGAAGGUCCAAUGAACGGUGAUACUCCUGGCGCCCAUGCCAUGAGCGGUGAUAAUGCAAGAUCAGUUGGUACCAUUGAUUUUAGAACCGGACAGACCACAGCAGGUGGUGGAAGCUCCGACUCCAGGAGAAGGAGGAGGAAUGUAAGUGCUGGAUUCAAACAUAUUUCAAUUGAUCAAUUCACUGGUUACAUGUACAGAGCCCUUAAUUCUUAUACAUAUUCAUUUACAUAUGUUCAUCACCAUCAAUAUCAUCUUCAUCUCAACUUAUAGGGUUGGUCGGAUUUUUAUGAUUGGCAUGUGCUGCAUAAUUUUGAAAUUUCAAUUAGGUUUGAAAACUUCAUGCAGGCAGCUGGCUUGAGACAAAUACGGUUUUUCAUUCUAAUAUCUUGACUAGUAGUUUUGAUGUAUUUGUGCUUUUCUAGAAAUGGGAAAUCUAUCCCAUGGUUGAAAAAAAAAUAUGUAUAUAUCUAUCUAUCUUUCCAUCUAUCUAUGUAUACACACACAGCGAAGCAAGUAGAUCGGCAUCUUUCUAUUAAGCAAGCUCAAUCUUGAUAACCGUAUUGGCUACAUAUCUAUUCCUAGAUUGGGUUUUAAAUGUGAUUGCAUUGAUUUUGCAGACUCAUGGAGUACUAAACGCAGUGAGUUGGGGAGUUCUCAUGCCAAUGGGAGCCAUGAUAGCUAGGUACCUUAAGGUGUUCAAGACUGCAAAUCCAGCAUGGUUUUAUCUCCAUGUUGCUUGCCAAGCUUCUGGCUAUAUUGUUGGCGUUGCAGGAUGGGGAACUGGUAUCAAGCUUGGAAAUGAUAGUCCUGGAAUUAAGUAUAAUAAACACAGGAACAUUGGCAUUGCCCUCUUUGCCAUUGGAACACUUCAGGUAACUAUUCUUUCUUUCUUUUUCCCCGCUCUCGUAAUCAUUACCUAACUUGUCUUCUCAUUAUCGUUGUUGAAUUAUUUAUAUGUUGUUGAAACUUGACAAUUGGACAACGUGAAUCUCGGUCAAUUAUUUGUGCUGGUCAACUUUAAUAUUUAUGAGGCGAAGCAUAAAAAAAACAUUCAACAAUUAUUGUGCCAAAGUCAAGAUCUAUGUGCACAUUCUAGAAUCAUCAACUUUUCUUCACCAACUCUGUUUUGGGCAGAGUAAUUUACCCAUUUGCCCAAAUAGCCUAAUACUUGCUAGGAAUGUCAAGUUACCUCUGCCUCAAGGCUUCUGUCAAUAUAGUUUUGUGACAAUUUUGCCUGCUUGAUAUGCAGAUGUUUGCAAUGCUUUUGAGGCCAAAACCUGAUCACAAAUACAGACUAUAUUGGAACAUCUAUCACUGGAGCCUGGGUUACAGUGUCAUAGUCCUGAGCAUUAUCAACAUCUUUGAAGGCUUCGAUAUCUUGGAUCCUGAAAAGAAAUGGAAGAGGGCAUACAUUGGCAUUCUCAUAUUCCUGGGCGCUGUUGCUGCUCUGUUGGAAGCCAUAACUUGGGUUAUUGUUUUAAAGAGGAAAAAUGGCAAUUCUGUGAAACACCAUCACAGCAUUAAUGGAGCUAACGGAGCCAAUGGCUAUGGUGCCAGAACACAGCAGGGGGCUUAGUUUGUGUAUACUAUACUUUCUAGGAUUUCUGCUAUUGUGUUAUACCAUUUAUUCUUUUCAGUCCUAUAUGUCAUCGGCGAGAGUAUUUUAUUUUUUGUUGUGUUGUUACUCAUACUUAGAUAUUUGUGAGGAGACUGCUAUAUUUUGGCAUAGCUAGGUUGUAAUUUUUUUUUAUGUAUACACACUUAUGGACAGCGUUUAAAUUUACUUUCUUCUUGUUUCUUCUUGACUAUUAUUAUAUCCCAGUAAAACUUGAUGUGAAUGUUAAGAAAAUGUCUAGUUUUUUAUAAACAUUGACAAAUAACAACAGCAUAUCCUGAAGCAGUUGUUUGGAAAAGCUCUGGCAAUCCAUAUCAAAUCCAAUGCGGUCUAUGAACUUUAUUUACACAGAAAAAUUAUGCCCGUAUUCUUUUACACUUUCCUAAACAUACACUGAAAAAAAAAAGCAUUUAGGUAUUAUACAAUAAUGGACAAAAUAAAUAAGCAUAUAAGAAUUAACUUGGACUAGUCUCGCCAUCAUCGUCAUCCCCAUAGGUGGAUGGGGUCUCAUUUAGAUCCAAAGUAGCAAUCUCUCUGAUAACCAGUGAUUUGUCUGCUUCGAAUUGUUCGUUCACUGUAGCAAAACAUAAUUUAGUAACACAAUCACAAUUCAAAGGAAAAAGUUCUAAGAAUUUCAUAUUCGUAAACAAAUGUCAUCUACCUUUAUCAAUAUUGAAGUCACUAAAGAAACGGAGUAACUUGCUCCUAUUUGCAAUCAGGACACUGAUGAUCUCGGGAGGUUUAUUUUGAUUUGCAACGAACAGCUAUCAAUAAUAAAAAGGAGAGAAUGAAAGUUUCUCCACAUUAGAUCAAAGGCAAUAUUUUGCAUUUUGCAAUAUCCAGAUAGGUCACGGUUAUGUACUAUACCUUGAAGACAUGAAAGCUUUCAAACUGUAUAUUUUUGUUCGAGUCCUGCAAAUUGGUGAACUGGAUGACUUAUAAUGAAAAAAUUGCACAAAAAUCAUCCCAAAACAAACAGGGAGAGAGAGAUAAUACCCUCAGAAGAUUCAUAAGGAUCCUCAUGUUAUCCAAUGAGCUCACAUACUUAACCAUAACAGCAGAAUUUGAACGAUCUAGCAAAAUAUCUCCCAGCAGCUAAGACGUAUAGUAGAAUGUCAGCAAAAUUAGUACUACAAAUGUUUUCUUUUUAUAAAUUAAUUGAUUCCUUUUGGUUUGGGCUGAUAGAUUGAGGUGGUUAAAAUUUAAAGAGAAAUGUUUUCUUUUUCAUUUUUUUUUGAUAAAAAAGAGAAAUGAAUCAGUGAGGUGAAACAUUCCAUAUUGACAUUCGAAACAAAAUGCAAAACUGCAGAGUUCAUGAUGGGAUUCUUCUGCUACAAAGAAAACAAAUGCAUGCUGAUUAGAACACCUAAAAUGAUUGAACAACUAAAUGUGAUGUUGUCAAUGGAAACUUUUAGAGGUAAGUAGUUCCUUUUAUCAAAGACAGAGCAUUGUUGUUCUAUACCUUGACAGCGUGCCGCUUGGUGAUAUAACUAGAAGAUUCCAGCAAUUGUGAAUUGUAUUCUUGAAAAAACUGGAACCAAAAAACAAAUUAAAAGGCUUCAGAUAAAGAUCAGGAAUCUCUAACAAGUACCAAAAGGGGCAGUGUUCGAGACUUUUGAGUCAUCUAAAAAUCUAAGUUCUUUCUCUAGCAAGAAACUUGAAAGCGAGUAGGGGCCAUUGCUGUGCCAGCAACAAGUCCUAAAGAAAUGCAAACUUUAGCAUAAAGUUCCCAUGGAUCAAUCAAUCAUGAAUGAUAUUUACGAGAUCAAUUUCCAGAUAUGAAUAGCAUGAAGAUAUCUGUCACUCAACCAUGGCCUCAGGAAUUGUUGAAUUUUGAAUCAACAUGCUAAAAUGGAAUGUAAUAAUCAUUUAUUAAAAAAUAAAAAAAUUGUACAAUCAUCAGCCCAAUAUGCAUUUAUUACCAGAAUUAGUUAUCACCAAAGAUGAACAUCAGCAUAACACAACAGAAAUAGACAAUUACUCCAAUGCUUACCCAGUCAUAAUUCUUAGACAAAAAUUCAGCAACAGUUGAUUUAUGCCUUGUCAAAAGCUCCUGUGUAAAUCUUCGUGCUAUCAGAAUUCAUGCUUGUAGUAGUUGUAUCAAAAUAGGAGGGUAAAAAAAAAAAAAAGCAUAGCAUAAGCAUGAUAUGAACAGUUCAUAAAGGUUCAGGAAAGUACAUUGUUCUCUCCUAUACUUUCAUAUAAAGUACAAAAGAAAAUUAAAAAAAAUUAUAUCUGUCUUAAAGAAUUGAGUUUGAAAAAGAAUACUAAGAAUAAAGUUGUUUUAAGUCAGUGCUACUAACUUUAAAAGUUGCUUGGGCAUCUGAGGCUAUGUCAAAAUUUGGAAUCUGUAGGAAGCUGAAGAACUUCUUCAUAUGCUCAGAUUCCAGCACAUAUCUGUCAAAUCAAACAAAUUUAAUUAACAACAAAAUGUCGACAAGUGACAAGGAAUAAGUCCGUGUCUAGCAAGUCCUUAACCUUCAGUAGCUCAUCAAAUGAGCAUUAACAUUCGUAGACAAGAGCGUGAAUAGUGUACACUAGACCAAGAAUCAUUUUCCAACAAUCAUAAAAGAAUCGAAUUCCUGUUGAUUAACUUAUGGUUUGUGAAAUAUUCAUUCAAGAAAGAUUUUCAAUACUGGUUAAGAUAACAUUUAACAACUCAAACUGAACUAAGUUGCUUACCUUGCAACACUUUGAUGACGAAUGCACUCCCUUGCAAUAGCACCGUAAGUCAAAGCAACAUCCCCAUCUUCAUAACUGAUGAAGAAAAACUGUAAAUUACUCAUCCAAAAUCCUAUGUCUCAUGAGCAAUAUAACACUAUUCAUUGAACAUACUUAAAGGAAGAAAACUUACUCAAGAAUCAAAGUAUCCAUAAUAUCGAAGUUUGCUUCUAAAUACGUACAGGCAAUCAACUUUGUGUCAACCCUUUGCCUCUGCAAAUUUGCAACCACAUGAGUCGCAUCUCGUCGAGGCUGCAAGCGAAAAAUGCUCAUGAUCAUGACAUCAAACCACAAAAAACCCACAUGAUACUAAUUAGAGAAAUAGAUUGACUUUAGACAUCAAUCAGUGAAUUGUUAAUAGGAGAUUAGAUAUAAAACCAUCCCGAUUAGUUCAUUUAGAGCUUACCCCCAUUGCUAAUUUUGGAAGAGAAGCUAUGAGAAGACGGAGAGUAUCUUCUUUGAAGAAUUCACGGGUCAAUUGUUCACAAGCAUCUGCAUUUGGCUCCGACUGAUCAGAGCCAAAAAGAACUGUCCUCAUCUCCAAUAAUAGUUUACUUAGCUCAGACAUCUGUACCACAAAUUCCAAACUAAAUACAUAUUUUCUAUAUAAGUUAAACAAUAAAUACAAAAUUAAAACUUUCUCGCAUUAGUAUCCAUAGCAGCUCUAGGGAAAAAGGAGCCCAAAAAAAAAAAAAUCCAUUGUAUUUUAUUUAAAAUUUUAAUAUUUAUCAAUAGAAAUAACUUAUAGCAAGUUCUAAAAUUUGCAGUCAUUUACAUUGCAUGCGUAAGGUUUGUUGCACCAACAAGAGGGGGGAAAAAUCAAUUUAUUUUAAACCAAAUAAAAACAACAAAUUGAAAAUACCAACAAAAAAAAAUUUCCAAGCAUGUCCCUCCUUAUGAUCACCAUAUCAAUAUUACAAACAUAAGCCAUUAAUUUUUUUCAAAAAGAAAAAAUAUUUUUUUAAAAAUAAUGAUAAAAAUGAACCUUUUCUUCGCGCUUCUUCUCGCGGGUCUCGGUGGUACGGUUGGCGUAAAGAAGAAGCUCGCGAGUGAGUUUGACGAGCUCGACGGGCGUCUUUGGCUUGGGCUUGAACAGGCCUUUCAUUUUCUUCUUCCAAAAUGCAGACCUCCAAAACAAUAAUUUUUUAAAAUUUAUUUUCUUUUCUUCAUCUCUUUAAUUAAUAAAUUCUUUUUUUUUUUUUUUAACUAUUUCUAUUUCUUCUUCAGGAUUGGAUUAUGUAUUAGGGUUUUAGAAGAGGAGAAACUUCAGAACCCAAUCCGCAAAAUGGGAUCAUGGAGAAGAAGAAUUGCAGUUUCAUGCAAAAACCAUGAAACAACAACAGAAGCUCGCUGCUCCCAUACAGCAUGAUGAUUGGUUAUAAAUAGAGAGGAUUAUUUUACCACUCUCAUCCUUCUGCGCGUGUAGUAUACUCUCUGUUGAAUGGAGACACGUCAGCGUGAUUUCAGAGGCGGUUUCUUCUGAUUUGAGAGCGCGUAACACAGCGGUCAAAAUUUGAGUUUUAACCUCAAAUGAGUUCGUAUUUGUGGUUGGUUUACAGUCAAUAAACAAACGAGGACAAUAACUAUUUAUUUUAACUCAAUCGGCUGGUUGACACGUGUUAUUAUAAGAUUUUAUUUUAGGUAAAAUUUCUCUUUAGAAUAAAAUAAAAGAAAAUUCCACUUUUUGGUUCUUUUUCCCUAAAUACCAGAUUUUCAGAACUUUGAAAAUUCUAUUCAAAUUCUUAUCGUUAAAAUCUGGAAUUCGGGAUCUUGAUAUCUUUAAAUUGAUUGUUAUAUUUUUUUGCAAUGGCGAAUUUCCUCAUUUAAUGGUAGAAAAUUGAGUCAAAAUACCUGAAUUUUUUUAUUUUUUUUGCAGCUGAAAAAAUAAAAAUAUUUGCUUUUUAUUUUUUAUUCUUCUUUUAUGAAUGCCUGAAAUCCUGAAGGUUACCCAUACUGGAUGAGAGGGUCCACCUGGGUACCGUCCACCAAAAUUUGUUUUCUAUUGGUAAAUGUCAUUUGGAACCUUGUACUAUUUCUAAUUUAUAAUUUGUUUAUAAAUAUUAAGAUAAAUUAUGUUUACGUCCUUUUUAAAAAAAUCUUUUUUAACCAAAUUAAAUAAUCUCUCUCUUUUUAUAUUGUAAACCAUUUGAAAGUUUUGCUUUUUGCUUUUUUAUUUAUUUAUUUUUGGAUUCAAAUAUUUUCCUUGUUUAGUUUUUCUUAUAAAUGCACAACUUCAAUUAUCAACAAUUUUUCUUUUACUCCAUGGGAAUUAGAUUUUUUUUAAAAUAUUUCUUUUUUAAUCCAAAAUCCCUCUUAAAAAAAAAAAUAUCAAAAGCCAAUCGGAAUGGAGGCUACACCUACACUUAAUUGAUAUAAACUGCCACGAUACAUCAAUUACUCUAUAAUUUCUUAUCACAUGCAAUCUAUAUAUAAUGCCUUUUCUCUUUUUUUUUUUUUUGGCUUUCUAUUUUAUAUUAUAAUUUAAGUUAGUAGAAAUGAAUGUUUUAAGAUGGCUUUCUAUUUUAUAUUAUAAUUUAAGCAAUCUAUAUAUAAUGCCUUUUCUCUUUUUUUUUUUUUUUAGUAGAAAUGAAUGUUUUAAGAGAGAGUUAGUAGAAAUGAAUGUUUUAAGAGAGAGUCUGCUGAGAAAUUUUUUCAGAGAGAAAAAUUGGAGAGAGAAAUCUUUCUUCUUAAAUCCUAAUACUUCUUUAACUGCUGUAUAAUUUUAUUGAAUAUUUUUAUUUGAUGCCAUAUUUAGUUCCACAUUUGAAUCAAUUUUUAUUUGAUUGAUGAAAUAAAUCCUGAUACGGCUAAACAAAUUACACAAAUCAAGUUUGUUCAAUCAAUGAUAACUAAAAUUUUAUUUUAAUAUUCUUAAUUAUUGUUAUUUAUAAAUAACUACCAUGAGUUUAUUUAGAAGAUUAUUAUUUAAAAUAUUUUUGUUUUAUUUUAUUUCUUUCCUUAACAACGACCAUUUUUUUUUUUUUGGUAAUGAAAAGUUAUGUUUGUAAUUAGGAAUAGCAAAAAAGACUGGGCUGGUCUUAUUCAUUCCUACGGGCUUUGGCUCGGGCCUUUCGCAUGAGGGCCUGGACAAUAGUUUAGGAAAAAAAAAACCCGAGCCCCCAAGCCCUCUAAUUAAAAAAAAAAUAAAUUUAUAAAUUAGAAUAAUAAAUUCAAAUAUGAAAAAUACUGGAAAAAUAUAAAAGAAAGCUUUAAUUCCUAAUUUAUAUAUCAAUAAUGAAUCAAAAUACUUAAAAUUGUAAUACAAAACUUUUUUUUAAAUAUUAAUUAAUUAAGAGAGUUCGUGAAUUAGAGAAUUCAUGAAUUAGAGAAUUCAGUAAAAAGAAAAUAAAUUUCUAAACUUUUAUUUAUUUCAUUUUAUUUAUUUAUUAUUUUAUUUUUGAAAUAUUUAUUUUCUUUAAUUCAUUGUUAAUUAUAACAACUUGAUUAGGGAUAGCAAUGGGGCAUAUAUGGGUUGGAUCUACCCUACUCCAGAUCCAGAUCCACAAUAAAAAUCAAAAUCCGUAUCCGCUCCAGAUCUGUCAUGAAUCUAUAUUUUUCGUUCCAUAUCCAAAUCUAAAAAAUAUAUAUAUCUAUAUAUGCUCCAAAUCCAAAAAGAAAUUAAAAUUCAAAUAUGUUCUAGAUCCAUCAUUAAUUCUAAAACUCAGCAAUAAAAAGUAAUAAUUUUUUAGAAUAAAAAAUGAAGGUUAAAAUGUAUUGAUAACAAAUAAAUUAUAUAAUUUUUCUCAAAAAUAUAAUAAAUAUUGUAGUUUAUACUUUUAUACCAAAACAACAAAUAAGAAAAAUAAUAAAAUAUCAUUCAAAAGUAAUUGCAGGAGUAAGAUCAAUCUAAUAUUUUAUUGUCUUCUUUAUCAUUAUAAUAUCCACAGCACACCCAGUCUCAUUCCUACAACAUUAGAUAAUGACAUAUAAAUUAAAUAUAAUUUAUAUUCAAUGCUUUAUUAUUUUUAUUAUGACCAUAUUUGACUAAAUAUAUGAAUAAUUAUAUUCCUUAAAAAUUAUUUGGUCAAUAUAAUAAAAUAAAUUGCUAGGCUGUAUUACUUGGCUCGCAAUUUGAAUAUUGCAUGUACAUGCUUUGGGGCUGACUGACCUUUAAAUUUACAAAACUAACCUUUAAGUUUUAAGAAUUUAAAUGAAUGAUAAAUACCACUAAUAUGCUAUGAAUAAAAUUUAUUAUCAUUCUAAUUCCACAAUUGCUAAGCUCCACAAUUGUUAAGAAACUUUUAAAAUAAAUAAAAUACAAUAAACAUAUGGGUGGAUAUGGAUAUGGAUUUAGAUAUUAAGAUAUAUCCAGACUUACUCAAGAUCCGUCUUAUAUCCGCACAUCAAUAUCCAAAUUCGAUCCAAAUUCAUUUUAAACUGACAUAAAUUCGAUCUGAUUGGAUUUGGAUCACGUGGAUAUUAGAUCAAAUCCAAUCUAUUGCCAUCCCUAAACUUGAUUAUUAUUAACUCAUUUAAAGUUUACAACAAUUUAAAAAAAAAUUUAAAAAAAUAAGUAAAACAAGUUCAAUCCAAGCAUGCAGUUAACCUGACCCAAACCCUUGUCCUUACACUUUAGCUCAGGCACAAGCCCUUCAAUUACCAACCCUAUUUGUAACUCGAAUAAAGCUACGCGAUAUGCUUCACGAAAGAUUUCAAAUUUCAAUGCGGAUACAAUGUUAUGGGCUGUAAAAAAGAUUUCAACUGUAUUGGAUCGGGAAUGUAUUUCCCAAAAUGGGCCGAAUCCAAACUCAAUGAAAUUCGGGUAGAAAAAACCCACCCGAAUUAAGAACAAACGACCUCAUCCACAUAACAAAGCAAGACAACAUCUGUUGUUUGGUUAAGAGGCCGUGAGGCGCCGGCAACCAUGUGGUUCAUUGUCCAGAGAAUGGCCACAGCUUCUCUCUUGUCAUCUUCUUUCUUCAUCUCCAAGCCUCCGUCACCAUCCUCACUCUUUUUUCACUUGCCUGUAAAGCAAUUCGUUUCGAGCUCAGCCCAGUUCAGGCAAAGAUAUGGGGCGGUGGUCUCUGCUACUUCAGUGGCCACUGAGCCAGCUGAGACACCAUCCGUGACUCAAAACGGCAAGGUGGAGCAGGCCCAGAUGACUUCUGAGACUGAAAAAGUCGUGCUUCCCACUAAUGAGUCCAAUGAGCAGCUCUUGAGAAUUCGCCACACGGUGAGUUUUGGUAUUUGUGAAGAAAAAGGAGAUUUAAUUUGAAAUUUUAAUAUCGUAUAUGAUCCUGUAGCUUGGUUGUUGGGGUUGAAUUGUUGUUACUUUUAAUCCAUAGCUGGUGUAAAAUGAAAUCAUUAGCUGUUGGGUUUAGCUGUUUCUGUUUAAUAAGCAUUAGCUAUCAAGUAAAAUGAGUGUUCAGGUAUUACUUUAUCUGCUGUGUUUCAAAAUUAAGCCGCAGGGAAGCUACAUAAAUGCUCUUAUUAGUCUUGCAAUUUAAUUUUUUAUCAUUUCAUUGAAUUCUUUAAAUUACUUUGAGGAGCUUCUUUUGGUGUAUGAACUGAAAAAUUUUUAUGUACUCAAUUUUGCUUUUUUUCUGGCUAAGUGAUGUUGUUUCUGGUCUAGUGUGCUCAUGUGAUGGCCAUGGCUGUUCAAAAGCUAUACCCAGAUGCAAAAGUGACAAUAGGGCCUUGGAUAGAAAAUGGGUUCUACUAUGAUUUUGAUAUGGAGCCUUUGACUGAUAAGGAUCUGAAGAGGAUCAAGAAAGAGAUGGUGAGUACACUUGGUCCUUCAGUAGUAAUGUUGUUGUAGAUUUCGAGUGUAGGGGAAGGUCAUGAGAUUGGGAAAAUGCUUAUUGGCCUAUGAUUUCAGGGUACAGAAUUUAUUUCUUACAUCAUCUGUAGGAUCGCAUCAUUGGUCGAAAUUUACCACUUGUGAGAGAAGAAGUCUCCAGAGAUGAAGCUAAAAGCAGGAUAAUGGCUAUUAAAGAACCUUACAAAAUGGAGAUUUUGGAAAGUAUCAUAGAGGAUCCUAUCACUAUCUAUCAUAUUGGUAUUUUCUAGCUCUAUUAUUAGAUUUAUUACUCUAUUUUGUUAUUACCAUCAUUAAUAUAGCUGUUAGAUUCUUCUGUGAUUUGGUUCUGCAUUUUGGAAUUUUUUCUAUGCGAACUACAUUGUAAAGUCUAGGUUGUGAUUAUAGAUAUUGAUUUAUGGUUUCAUAUUUGCUUAGUCGUUAAUAUUUGUGCUAGUUUAAAGUCGUUCUAACAAUGCUGCUACAGGCUGAUUCUCUUUUAUUGUUUAUAUAGUGUUCCAUCCUAGGUGACCAGGGUAAUAAAGUGGAAUGAUUUUGAGGGGAAUUCAAAUUUACAAAAAUUUUAAUUUUGUUUGUUCUCCUAAGGUGAGGAAUGGUGGGACCUUUGUGCUGGACCUCAUGUCGAAACUACUGGUAAAAUAAACAAGAAAGCUGUUGAACUUGAGUCUGUUGCGGGGGCAUACUGGAGAGGAGAUGAGAAAAAACCAAUGCUGCAGAGGAUCUACGGAACAGCAUGGGAGAAUGAAGAACAGUUAAAAGCUUACCUUCACUUUAAAGAAGAGGCCAAACGCAGGGAUCACAGGCGCCUUGGCCAAGAUCUUGAUUUAUUUUCAAUACAGGUUGCUUUCUUUCAAAACUGAUAAUUGCUAUAUUGCAUACUAUAACUGUAUAUAACGGAUAUGAUUUUGUGAAGGAUGAAGCUGGUGGAGGUUUAGUAUUUUGGCAUCCAAAGGGUUCAAUUGUUCGGCACAUCAUUGAGGAUUUUUGGAAGAAAUCACAUAUAGAACAUGGUUAUGAUUUGCUAUAUACUCCCCAUGUGGCCAAGGCGGACCUCUGGAAGAUUAGUGGUCAUCUGGACUUCUACAGAGAGAAUAUGUAUGAUCAGAUGAACAUUGAAGACGAACUUUAUCAGCUCCGUCCCAUGAAUUGCCCUUACCAUAUUUUGGUUUACCAGAGGAAGCUUCAGUCAUAUCGUGAUUUUCCAAUCCGGGUUGCUGAGCUGGGAACAGUAUAUAGAUACGAGUUGUCUGGAAGCUUACAUGGCCUUUUCCGUGUAAGAGGUUUCACCCAGGUAAGUUUAUACACAUUCUUAGCUAUGAGACAAGGUAGAAAUGGUUUGCCUUAUAAUUUUGCAUCAUUUGUCUGACACUAAGGGUAGCUUUGUGUGUAUAUGAUUCUACAUGUUUUAGUAUAUUGUUCACUAUAUUUAUAGUUCUUGAAUCAAGGUAAGCAGAAUGAAAUUCACCCUUUUUGCUCUUGCAGGAUGAUGCUCACAUAUUUUGUUUAGAGGAUCAAAUAAAAGAUGAAAUUAGGGCUGUUUUAGAUCUUACAGAAGAGAUAUUACUACAAUUUGGUUUCAACAAAUAUGAAGUGAACCUCUCAACUAAACCAGAGAAAGCUGUUGGAGGUAAUGAUAUAUGGGAGAAGGCAACAUCUGCCCUUAGAGACGCUUUGGAUGAUAAGGGAUGGGAUUACCAAAUUGAUGAAGGUGGUGGUGCGUUUUAUGGUCCAAAGAUUGAUCUUAAGAUUGAGGAUGCUCUUGGAAGGAAGUGGCAGUGCUCAACCAUACAGGCAAGUCCUAAUAUCUUUAAAUACCAUAUCUAAUUUUGACAUGGAUUCUCACUGGGUAAGUAAGAAUAUGUCUGCUAUAAUAUUUGCAUUAUAGCUCAUGUCCUGUUUCCUUACAUUCGUAACAAGCCCUCGUCUCUCUCUCUCUCUCUCUCUCUCUAUGCUGUAGUGAUUCUGAAAAAACUUCAUAUCAAUUCAUAUCGAUUUCAUUCAUUCAUAUCAAGGCAUAUUGAUUUCAUUCAUUUAUUUCCAUGGCAAAACUGUUUGAUUGAGUGACAUUUUAUUUCUCAAUGUAAGCAGGUUGAUUUCAAUUUACCACAGCGAUUUGACAUUGUGUAUGUUGACUCAAACUCAGAAAAGAAGCGUCCCAUCAUGAUCCACAGAGCAGUGCUUGGAUCCUUGGAACGUUUCUUUGGAGUUCUAAUAGAGCAUUAUGCUGGGGAUUUUCCUUUGUGGCUUUCUCCAAUCCAAGCUCGUGUUUUACCAGUUACAGACACACAGGUAUACAUGGCUACUUCUGUUAUGAACCUCAGAUUUCCAUUGUUAUGAAUCUAUUUACGGUUUUGCAAGUGACUUAAGAUUUAUAUAAUCUUUGCUAUAAAAUAACUAAUUGGAUGCAUUUAUCCAGCUUGAGUACUGUAAUGAGGUGAUAAAAAAACUGAAAACUAAUGGUAUACGAGCUGAAAUUUGCCAUGGUGAGCGCCUGCCUAAGCUCAUUAGAAAUGCAGAGAAACAGAAAAUUCCAUUAAUGGCAGUCGUUGGAGCUAAGGAAGUUGAUGCACAAACUGUUACAGUCAGAUCUAGGUUUGGUGGAGAGCUUGGGACCAUGAAAGUUGAUGAUUUUAUCAGCAGAAUCAAGUCUGCCACUGAAAACAGAACUACAAUGUAAAGUUCUUUGAAAUUCUUAGACAUGAUAUUUUUACAGGGAUUUGAAUACAUACGAUUUUCAUUAGAUAGCGACAUUUUUUUACUCGUAAAUUUAUCUACUUGAGAAACUAAAUAUUUCUAAUUUAUGGUUGUAGCCUGUGUACAAUAAUUUUAGUUUCUAUUUUUCCUAAUAAGCAAAUAAAUAUCUGUUUAUCAAAGAAAAUGUCUGUCGAGGUUGUAACAGAAAUUGCUUAUAUCAAGUCAAAGUUUGAUUGCGGCAUAAUUUAAAUUUAUUUAUAUUUCGGAACAACAAGAUAUCCCUUUUCAUUUUUCCUUUUCUGUGAUUGUUGAAGCAUUUCUUUUGUAGGUUCACACGGUCUGAAAUUUGGAUUCUUUUGUUCACAUGGUUUGGGUCCUUUUGUUCACAUGAUAUUUUCUGAUAUAGCAUUGAUUUGAAACCAGCAUUAAUUCGAAUUUUUCAUAUUUUGUGGAGUCGUCUAAAAAGCUUUCACUGAACGACUGAAAUGUUUACUUUUAAAUAGCUUGCACGUCCAGGUGAAUGAAUGGAGCGUUCGAGCUAAAAUUGCUCAGUGAGCAAAUACGUUUAGUAUUUAUUAUUAUUUACCCUAAUUAGAGUUUAAUGUCCUCCAGGAAAGCUGAAUCUCCCGUCAACAUUUUUGGUUCUUCAAAUAUUUGACCCUGAGCCACCUAAAAUUAGGUGGAGGUUUGUAGUGUAAAGUUCCCUUAAUCUCACUAUAAAUGAACAUUUUUUGAGAGAUUAUCUCGUCUUAAUAAAAAAGAUAAUCCAAGCUCAAAAGGCCUUAUUUGAAAAAAAAAAAAAAAAAAAACGAACGGAUUAAAAAGAGUUUCCAAGAUGAAAGUAGUGGGUGCAUUGCUUUUGUGCUGGCUGACAUUAGUCAUAGAGUCACAAGGAGCAAAUUUGGAUUUCCAAAAACCUGAAGCACAGGCCUCAGAAGCAGAGGCCUCAAAAGGUUUUAACUGUUGUCAGACAACCUGAACCAGAUGCCGCGCGAUCACAAGGUGCAGUUUUUUAUGUUUUAAGUAUGGAGCAAAGGCCGAUGGCAACUCAGAUGAUAGUAAGGUGUAAACAUUUCUAUAAUUCUGAGUAAUUUCAAAUAAGUUUUCUUGGUUUGUCCGAUUGUUUUUCUUUCUUUAGGCUAUUGCAAGUGCCUGGAAAGAGGCAUGCACAUCUGAAAAUCUGAGCACUGUUGUAAUUUCGAAAGGAAACUACAUGGUUGGUUCAGUAACGUUCAAAGGACCCUGCAAAUCUCCUAUAACUCUUCAUAUUGAAGGAAAACUGAAGGCCCCAGUAGAAUUAGAAAGGCUCAGUUCACAGGACGGAUGGAUCGUUUUCCAGGACAUUGAUGGGUUACAAGUCUCUGGAGGAGGAACAUUUGACGGUCAAGGAUCAGCUGCUUGGGCUAAAAAUGAUUGCCGGAAAACUGGAAAAUGCAGUUCUUUACCAAUAGUAAGUAUUUGCCACUAUCACACACAUUGCUUCCGGAUUUUUUUUUUUUUUAACUCAUGUUAAUGCUAAUGCAAUGAGUUAUGACUAUGGUUUUUUUAUUUGAAAACAGAACUUGAGAUUUUCUUCAGUCACCAAUUCGAAGAUGCAAGACGUAACUUCACUUAACAGCAAGCUGUUUCACAUUAACAUUUUGAAUUGCAAGAACUUGAGCCUUCAGCAUAUUAGCAUCAAUGCACCAGCAAACAGCCUAAACACUGCUGGGAUCCACAUUGGUCGAUCAAACGGGGUCCACAUCACUGAUGCAGACAUUAAAACUGGGGAUGAUUGUGUUUCACUUGGCGAUGGAAGCCAACAAAUAAGCAUUGAAAAAGUGACCUGUGGCCCUGGCCAUGGCAUCAGUGUUGAUACCCUUGGGAGAUACCAUGAUGAGCAACCCGUUAAUGGAGUUACAGUGAGAAAUUGCACUCUCAAAAACACAAUGAAUGGUGUUAGAGUCAAGACUUGGCCAGAUUCGCCUAGUGGUGUUGCGUCAGAAAUGACUUUUGAGGACAUCAUCAUGGACAAUGUUAGCAAUCCUAUUCUAAUAGACCAAAAAUACUGCCCUUAUGGUGAAUGCAAAGCUAAGAUACUUAAAUAACUCCUUGAUUAAAAUUGCAUUAAGAGAAAAAUCAUAUUAAGUUAUUGAAUUGAUAAAUUCUAUCCUGUAUCUAGGCACCCUCUCGUGUUAGGAUCAGCAACGUGAACUUCAACAACAUUAGUGGAACAUCGGUGACUCAUCUAGCAGGUGAAGCUUGCUUGUAGUGCAGGCAUACAAUGCAGGAACGUACAUAUUGGUAACAUUCACUUGACAUAUACCCCACAAGGCACUGCCUUCUCAGAAUGUACCAACGUCAGGCCUGUAGUUUCCGGCAGAGUGGUUCCGCGUGCUUGCUUCAAGAAUACAUGAGCUUCCUCAGAUGCUGACCAAGUAGUAGUCCAAGAUAUUAUUCAUAUUCAUGCUAGAAAAAAACUGUCCAAGCGUCCCUUCGUGCAUACUUGCAUAAUGAGUGAUGGUGAUUGGUGAAUUGUGUAUUUGAUUCUGUAUUUUUUUUUAUGCAGAGUCAAUGUAUUGUUACAGAAACAAGAAACAACAGAGACAUAGUUCUUUAUUUGAAAAUAUCUAGAAUGUGAUAUCAAUGUCUCUGCUACGGCACUUCAUUGAAGCUGUAACUAGUCUAGUCCAUUUUGUUAAUACCACAUUCUUGGCUAGUGCGACGCCAUUUCUGUUAACUACGCCUUCGUGUUAAUUAGCCAACCAUCAAUAAUGAAGUGAGCUCAAGGUUGAAGACGAGCCUUAGCCCCCACCUUUUCUAGUGUAUGAUUGUUGCUUAGUUAGAGAGAAAACAUGAUUUUCUAUAUACGCAGUGCGCUUGGGGUAUUCCUAUGAUCACCAUGCCACCUAAUGUUGUUUUUUAUGGCACUUUUCCUCUCUAGCCAAGGAUGUUCUUGUCCUUUUAUACUUACAAACAUUUAAACCCUGGGAGGGAGCAUACUUGAAGAAUAAUUUUGCUCAUUAUUAAUGUAAUUUGUAAGAGAACCCGGCAGCUCUGUGAGAGCAGCCCUAUAGUUGUUGACAUGGUAGACCUUUAUUGCCUCCAAACCUUUUGGCAGUCUGUUUACUCAUUAGUUCCCCAUUUUUAGCUAGAGAGACAAUAUUCUCUUUAGGUGAUAACAACCUCUCACGUGAUCCUGAAUAAUCUAAUUUUCUUUUUACAUUGCACUUAUAACCAAGACUUUUUUUUAUAUAUAAAAGGGAGCCAAACAAGGCUAAACCGAAACAAAACGUGGGAAAGCAUUCCCGUACAUGUCAUAAGUUAAACAAUUAACAAUACCAUUAGGAGGGUUGUGGAGGACAUGAAAACCAAGAGGUUGCCUCAUUGCGAAAUUUGCAAGAAAAUCCGCUGCAAAGUUUGCUUCGCGGUAAAUGUGGCUAAUGCACACAUGCCAUUCUCUAUUUAUGAGCCUUCGGAUACUUUGAAUCACAGAAGAAAAUUUGCUUGGGUUAUUGUUCGUGUCUGCAAGAAGCUCAGUGAUGCACUUGCUGUCAACUUCAACCAACAAAGACCGAAUUCCCAUCUUCCAAGCCAGGUCAAGACCAUAGAAUAAACCCCAAAGCUCAGCAUUUGUAACCGAACUAAUUCCAAUGUUCGCACAGAAUCCAGCAAUCCAGUUCCCAUUUGCAUUUCUUAUCAAGCCCCCUGCAGCUGCCAUGUUCAUCUUCUUGCAGGCCCCAUCAGUAUUCAAUUUGAAGACAUUUUCAGGAGGAGGUUUCCACCCAAAGUAUUUAACCAUCUUUGAAGCUCCAGGCUUGAUCAAGGCCAUCAUGGUUUUAUGGGCAUUUUCAGCUCUGGUCAUAAUAUCUAAAGUGAUGUUUUGACUGCUCCUCUGGUCAUGGUUUUAUAACCAAGACUUUAUAUUACUGUUCUGUAUUUCUUAUAAUAUUUCACUUAUCCUUGGCAUAAUUGGGGUAACCGAGCUCCCCCUAAUACUCAACCGCUCCUUGUUCGUAAUGAUAGGUUGCAUCCAUACAUUUUCAUCUAUUUUCCCCCCGAACACAUAUACUUAUGAUUUCAUUAUUUUAAAUUAAAAUUUAGAUAUUUGAUUACUUUAUUAUCUAGCUAAUAAUCUGAAUAUUAAAUAAUACCAUACAAAUAAAUUUUUUAUAAGUAAAUAAUAAUUAAACUUAAAUUAGUAUUUAAUUAAAUGAAAAUUGAUUUUAAUAAUUAAUUAAAUUAAACGACUAGUCAUACAAUAUCCAUAAAAAAAUUUCAAUUUGUCAUCUCUAUAAUGAAUUUAUAAACAACACAUACAAAUUUUAUCUGGAGGGAGUAAAGUUUAUGUCAUACCACUUCUGUAACUGUACGCGAUUUCAUCUAUAUAAUUAUCUUAAAAUGACAUGACAGACCUUAUGAAAGAGAGAGGGGGAAAAAAGACACGACAUAUAAAUUUUACUUUGGAAUUAAAUUUGUAUGACAUGUCACAUUUUAUCUAAAUAUAUAACAAUUAUUCAUACAUAUAUCAUAAACAUGUACGACAUGUAAUUUAUGUCAGAAACUAUUAAUGAUAUGUUACACAAUAUUGGCCAAAGAUUUAAUUAUGGGCAAUGACUAUCUCGAAGCUGCUCUAAGGUAGAACAAAAAUCACGGUCACACACGCAAAGUGAUAAAUAAUAAAAAAUACGUUAUAACUUUGAUCGUGUAGUUUUGAAGACAUGUUCUACCUUAGACCAAUUGCAACAUAACUGGACCCUUUAUUUAUUUAUUUUUUCUGUUUUCAAACUUAAUGCAAAUUAGAGAACAAAUUAUUGCUGAAGUAAUCUUUUUUCUUCUUUUUCUUAAUCUUUCUUCAAAUUCAAUAACUUGGAUUUUGUUACCCUAAAUUAUAAUUGUGUAAAUUAACAAUAAUAAUUGUAUUUAAUUCCAAGAAUUUAAUUUUUUUAACCUAUUACUUCUUCAAGGGUGAGAUAUUUAAUAAUUUGGUUGCAAACGCCUUAAGAAAAUUUAGCUUAUACCCCUUAAUUUUUCAUAAAAGAAUAUAUUUUUUAAAUUUUCACCUAUGUCCCCAAUUCAAUUUGUUUUUUGUUUUUAGUUAGAGUUGGAGAAUCAUUUUAUAAAAUAUUUCAAUUAUAUAUUUAUUAAAUAAAUUGAAAUUAUUGUCGUUAGGAGUAAUUUUAUAAUAAGGAAGUCUUUUACUUAACCUAUAGCAAUAAUGCUAGAGAUCCUUAAAUUUGAGUCCCUACUUGAGUUCUUGUUAGUGUAUUAAAAUCUGGGUUUUUUUUUUUUUAAAUUUAUGAGUGACAUUUUCACUUUGUUAAAAUGAGGAUGCCCUCUCUAGAUAAUUAUUAUAUAUUUACUCCUUUACAUGAACCACAUUCAUACAAAUAUUUAUCAUAUAUAUAUAUAUGUACUCUGCUCUGAGGAUGAGUGAUGAAAUCAUGUGCAAUGAGAAGUGUGAAGAUACUAAAAUAUAUUAGGUGUAUUCUCAACAAAUACUCAGCUAUCCUAAUCAAUAUUAGAAAAAUAAUUUUUGUAAAAAAAAUUUAAAUGAUUUUGAAGUAGGAUUGAGAAUUAAUAUCGGGUAAAUGGUACUUUCAUUUCUUUCAAAAUUCAUUUUUAUCACUAAAGACCCUAAUAAUAUGUUGAAUUGUAAAAAUGCAAAAGUCUUAACGGAUAUAUAAAAUGUUCGAGAAAUAAAUAAAUUGAAAAAUUUUAAAGAAUAAAAGGAAAUAAAUAAAACAAUAUGUCUAUUCCCUUGGAAAAAUUAAUUCAAGCUUAUUCUGAAAUAAAAUUGCGAGAAACCGUCAUCAACUUAAACAGUUAAACUAGAUCUAGUGCAAAUUAAAAACUUCACGCACCACCACUCAUCAUGCACCCAGACAUGAAGGGGUCGUAGAAGAAUAUUGCUCCUUCUUGCAGCAUCAGAAAUUAAAAGAAAGACGGCGGCGACCAGGGAUGGCGGAGCCAGAGGGAGUGGCGCUGGCGAUGCAGGGAGGCGGGUUCAUUUUGCCAGAAGUCUUGGGUUGAAUAUUUGUGCAUUCGGAUUUAAUAGGUCCUUCGGGUCCUGUAUAUGUAAGACUAAUGUCAGCAAGCUCCACGCCCUCGCAUGGCACGCCACCGCUACAAGCCAGCUUUAUAGCCACCGCCGUCGCUGAGGUGCCUCGUAUGUUCUUGAAGCUUACCCUGUCCAGCUUAACACGCGAUGGGACCUGAAGAAAAUAAUUAAUAAUAAUCUCAUUAAAUUUAAUUAAUUAACUGAUUAAUUAAAGAACAUGUACAUAAUAGGUAUUACGUAUGUACCUUGGCAUUGCACUGAUUGUGGGGGCAGUACACUUGAUCCAAGAGGAUAGGAUUACUGACAUUAUUCAUUUUAAUGUCUUCGAAAUGCAAGUCAGAUGCAGUGCCUGGAUAUGAAGCUGGCCAGGUUUUGAUUCUCACGCCAUUCGAGGUGUUGCUAAUGUUGCAUUCCCUGACCCUGAUUCCAACUACAGGCUGUUCAUUUUGGUACUUUCCUAGACUUCCUACACUGAUUCCAUGACCGGGUCCGCAAUCAAUCUUGUUGAUUUCCAUUUGCUGGGUGCCGUCGCCAAUCGAGAUACAAUCGUCCCCUGUUCCGAUUUUCGAAUCCGUAAUCGUCACUCCACUGGAUCGUCCGACGUGAAUUCCAUCCGUGUUCAGACUCUCCUCAGGUGCUGUCACGGUAACUCUCUGGAAGGUGAAGUUCUUGGCGCCAAUUACGUUAAUAUGAAACUGUUUGCUGUUCAGUGAAGUCACGUCUUGUACCACCGAGUUUGUGAUGGCGUUGAAACUCAAAUUCUGACAAAGUUAAUUACGUACAUUCUGGUUAGCUAGCUAUGGUGAAUUAAAAUGCUACACGCACAUAAAUGUAAAAGAAAUAAAGCUGAGCCUGUCAGGAUUGAAAACACACACUUACAAUGGGACGUUUCUUGCAAUAAUCAUCCUUUUCACAUUCAGAAGGAGCGACGGCUCCUUGGCCAUCAAAAGUUCCACCGCCGGAUACCGUCAGAUGUUCGAUUUUAUUGAAUGAAACCCAACUGCCAGCGUCCUUGACAUUUGCAGGAUCUGUUAGGGCUUUAAGGGUGCCUUUAACCUGAAGCUCAAUAGCAGCCUUGCAUGGGCCUUCCAUGGUCACUGGACUUAAUUGAUACGUCCCUUGCGGGAUCAACACUUUGCUUGGUGUUGUUGCUGCACAGGCUUCUUUCCAAGCAUCCCUUAAAGCCUAAUUAAGACAAGAAGCAACAAACAUUAUUUGAUUAAGAUGACUAGAACAUUAUUUAUAAAUGCUAAAUUUUAAAAAAGAAAAAAAAAUCAAAAAAUCAUAGCUAGUGGGGAUAUUCAAUCUCACAAAUCAUCAAAUUAAGGCUCAGUUAUUACCUGGCUUAUAUCUGCAUUUUGCUUUGCACCGUGUUUUGUCACAUCGACGUCCAAAGCUGCAGCAGCCGAUAACAUCAGUAAUGAUAGGAACAAAGCCAGGAUAUUCGAUUUCGCCAUGUUCUAGUUUCAGCUGCACUUAUUUAAUUUCUUAAUUAACUUGAGAUUUUGGAUGAAUUGCAUGAAAUCUUGCUUCUUCCUGAUAACAUUUUAUAGUGCACUCAGGGAAGCUCAUGCCACAAAAAUUUUCAACCAAAUCUUUAGCUAAUUUUAUGCCCCCUUUCCUUAUUGUCGUAACUCAGUGGCUCAAUUUAUUUCCUAUUUUUAGUGUUUAUUCUUUUUUUUUUUUAAUCUUCCGCAAAUAUUUCCUGCACAAGAUGAAUUGGUAAAGAACAAACAUUAGUUAGUUUUUUAAAAAGAAAAUGUUGGCUAGUCACAAUAUUACACACCUUUUUUUUUUCUCUCCCUCUUUUUCUGCAUAUGCAUCUAUCAGAUUAGUAUUAAGUGUGGAGAUAAGUUUUGCUUAACACUCAAUUAAUGGAUUUUUUUUUUAAAUCUUAACCAGAGUUUGUCCAAGGUUUUUAAAUAUAAAUCAACGAGUAUAGCUGUUAGGUUUUUGGGAAUUGAUGAAUCAAAAAUUACAUUUUGAGUCUUUUUUUUUUUAGCGUAACAACAACAAUGAUAGCAGCACUUGCUAAAUUGACAACUUCAAUUAAAUAAUAAUUUUUGUUGUUUGUGACUCGGGAUAGGUCAAUGUGAUAAAUUAAUAAUUUGAUAAAUUAUAAAAUAAUGAUUUUUUUAAAUCCUAUUUUCUUGUAAGACUUACCUACUAUAUAAGGUAAUAAUUACUAAUUUUGAAACUAAAUUUACAUAAUAUGUCAAGUGACUUUUGUAAAAUAUGUUCUCAGUAUUGUUAGUCGCUUCUUGAAAUUAAUUUAGAAGUCAAUAUCAUUUCUAGCUCUACAAUAAUUUGAUUACUACUGGUGUAAGACAAUUAACUACUAUUAAAUAAAACACAAUAAAUACUAAAUUAAAGAAAAAAAUUAUAAAUGUGAUAAUAUUUUCUAGAAAUAAAAUUUUUUAUCACAAGUGAAUAAUUAAUUUAUUGAUAUAUUAAUAUUCACUAAAUUUAUAAACUUUUCAUAGUGUCAAUAUUAUUAAUUCAUUAAAGGUUUAUUGUAUAUAUAUUUACAGAGUUAGGUUCCAUUAAACCAUUGGAUUCUGUAAUUGAGUUGAAGUACAAGAUUCUUUAGUGGAACCUAACUCAUAUGCAUGUGUGUGUAUGAGUGCACAUAGUGCUUCUCUUGCGCAUAAUUCCACACUUGUAAAAUUAUGCGGAUGUUGAUCGUCGGCAAUUGGAUCAAUCCAGUUUGAUCUAGUGGCAGAAAUUGAUCAAGCAUGAGUCAACAAUCUUCAUUACAUUGUUUAUAAGCAAGUUUAUAAUUUCACUGAAUGCUGUUACUCAAAUCCCCAUCAUCUCAGACAAUAACGUAUUAAUUUGGGAGCUAAUUACUAGAGACGGAAGAACCACUCACACCUCUUUGAUCCCGAUGAAUUAUUGACUGUUAAGGCAAUCUCCCGUUGUUCUCCCCUACUUUUCUCAUCCUUGUUUAGUCGCUUUUACUGCUUCUGGGGCCACCACAAGUUUUAUAUGAAUCAUUGUUAUUAAAAUUCGGCCGGUCACAUUCGAUAAAAUUGGCUCCAUGAGGACCAACACUAUAUCAAAGGAAACGAAAAAGCAAGAACCAGCAUGGCUGAACUUGAGCAAAGACAGAGAAGACUGAACUCAAUGUGGACGACAAAUAGCAACUUUGGAGCAAACUUGGGAUCAAAAGCUUAAUUUUAACAGAUAUCCUAAGUUGGGACCCAUGGGUGCUCGACCAGGUGGUUUUCGAACAAUAUUAUUUGGCUAAUUAUCCGAUUUUGAGUCUUAGGAACGUAGGAAAUUAGAAAAUUGAUUUUGACUUUGUUUAUUCUCCUAUUAAGGGAAAAAAAAAGUAUGUUAUCUCUUGGAGAAUAACAAUAUUAAAUGAAGAGUAAUGUUAUAAUUAAUUGGGGAUAAAUUCUAUAAUACAUCUAAGACUCCAUGUCAUAAUUUGAUAUGAAACCACCAAUUAAUUAUAGUUGGACACAUGGCGAUACAUAUUGAAUAAAUUUUAAAACAAAAAUUAUAAAUUUCCCUCUUUUCAUUAUGCCUCUAUAUAUUAUUUUUGAAUAUUUUGGAAUUUCAAUAAAGUAAGAGAUACAACAUUAAUGCUACUCUCUCUCUUCAUAUUUGCUUUGGUGACUGCCAUUUUUGAAAACUAAUGAAGACGAAUAAGAUUUUUUUUUUUCAUGAUGAAGAUGAUUUUUCUCCCGAUAAAACCAAUAAAAUGUGCUCCAUUGUUUCAAUUUGCAUCUUUAUUGGGAAUACUGCACCCAUUGCUUUGCCUUGUUGCCAAUAUUAAAUGCGGUAUAACAAUCCAUAUCGGUUGUUGAUGCUGAAAUUUGCUCGCCCUUUGACCGACCAGAUUCUUUUACCAACGUUUAUGUUAUCAACUGUUGCUCGAACCGCUGGGGUUGGAAUCACUCUCCUUUCUCUUACUAGACCUGCGUUCACAAAAAACGGAUCAGAGACGCCGGUGGUUUUGCCGGCGUAAACCCUCCGAUGCCUAAGUUAGCACAAGGUGUUUACGGGAAAACAGUGCAAUUUGGAUUCAAGAAUGAUUUCUAGUUUAUUCGAAGUUUGUAAGAAAAUAGCCUGGUUGCAAUUUGGCAGCGUUUUCCCUCUCUCCGUUUUUUUUGUCUCAUUCUUCAUCGAUUUCUUCUUCUUUUAUAGCCGCUGUCCCACGUUUCCAUUUACCCUUCAUCCCCCCUUUUUCGGGUAGUGGCAGCCCCCCAUGGGACUUUAACUGCUACAUUGUGGGCAAACGUGGGAUCUCGCGUCUCCAGCAACGGUUCUGGGAAAAGCGCAACUACCGUGAUUCUUUGGGAUCGUGUUCCCGCUUUUUGGGGAAUUGGUAUCGGCUCGGUAUAUGACUCUAGUCGGUAUAUUAUCCUGGUCGGUACUCGUCUCUGGUUGGCUCAUGUUUAUCCCUGUGUUCUGCUCAUACCACUUGGCUGAGGUGAUCCAUGCCGGGGCGGAAAUAUUAGCAUGGCCGACCUGGUGCUUUUAUUUACUUAACACCAGUCCCCCAGUUUCUGGUCUUGCGAGUGAAAUGAGUUAAUAGUAUAAACUGAUAGUCAAAUCUCACCAACCCGGGGAGCUUCUCAUCUGAUCUUCUGUUUACUGGGACGGGCUGAGGUACCAUUUUUCUUCUGGGGAGAUUCCGACCUGAGCAUGGGCCUAAAUGAGCAUGUCCAUUGCAUAUCUGGGCUUACAUCUAUCCUGGCCUCUUGUAACGGUUAGUGACGUGGCAUCUCCAGACUCUUCGUAUUUGAAAUUUGAAACGACGGGCUAUCUGACCUCGAUAUUUGGUGAGUGAGCUAGCAUCCCCAUCACUUAAAUGCUUUCAUUUUUCCCUUUUCGUUUCAAAUCCCUAGACUUAAAUCUUCAUCGUUUUGUUAUUCGUCUCUCUGUCGUUAACCAACCCCCUCUUUGAACUUUGCUUAUACUUCUCGUGUCCGAAGUAUCUACUUGCUGGGUUUUUCUUCUAUCACGGCCGCGCUAUCAGUACCAGUUCAAUCCAGGUAUUGCUUUUAAUUUCUUCUCUGGUUCUUGUUGAUUGGGUUCUGUGUUGCCCCCUUUUGUAUCCGUAUACUCGAGUUUUCUUUGUUUUCUUUGUUUUCUUUUGGGAUUCCGGUAUGUCAAAUCGGAAGAGGAAGUUAAUUGCUGAUGAGAGUGACGAAGAAGUAGGGGAUUCAAACCUUAACUUGUCAAUACCCACUGAUUUUUUACGCCCCUCUAGUAGUGUAGGCCCCUCCCAUGGUAGGGAUACCCUUGAGUACCCACGCCCCUUGGCUGUUUCUCCCUCCCCCGAACUAGAACUUGUAAGGAAUAGAGAUGGACCUGUGUCGGGCUCUGGUGAGAACCAUAGCUUCGGUGGGGUUGGGGUCCCUGAAGGAGUUGGUGAUGGUGAGGGGAGCAGUUCCGGACCGAGCGGACCCCCUCGGAGAAGGAACCUUUGUCAUAGGGUAGAGGCAGAUUCUUAUCCUAUUGACUGCAUAACUUGUGCCACCACCCAAACUGAUUUGUUCAAGCUUAGGAACCUUUACAACAUUCCUGAGGAGGUUCUCCUGGUGGUUCCUGGGAAAGGUGAUGUUCCUAGUCGGCCUCCGCGGGAGUAUGUGACGAUGCACCUAGAGAGUUUCAGAUUAGGAGCUCGGCUGCCCCUUCAACGCUAUUUUGCUAAGAUACUGGGUGGUAUGCACCUGACCCCAGGUCAGCAACAUCCCAACGGAUGGAGGGUUCUCUCAGCUAUGUAUGUGCUGUGGGAGAGGUGUAGAUCAGAGGAGCCUUCCCUUGUUGAAGUGAAGUAUCUAUACCAGCUGAGGAGCAGCCCGAAAGAAGCAGGCUGGUAUUAUUUCAUGUCGAGCUCUGCGAAGAGAAAACCAAUCACCGGCUUCCCCUUUUCGUGCUAAAAUUAGAAGAACAAAUUCUUCUUCGCUAGGGGAAGUUGGUGUCCUGCACCUCAUUCGUUGGGUGGUGAUAUUUACCUUCCAACACAUUUUGUCACCCCAGUUCGUUCAUUUUUUGCCUAAAUUCUUAAUCAAAUUACAACUUAUUGGGUUCUUUAACCUUUUUUGCUAUUUCAGAGUCGUGGGGUUUGAUCGGGGGGCUUGAGAACCGACCUUUGCUUCAGGUGGAGACUGCUCUGGUGAACGCGUCUACCUGUCAAGACCUCCUGUCACCAACAAGCCUGGUCGGUUCUGGUUUAGUGGACAUAACAGCUGGAAUGGAUAACAAGAUCCUCAGUGCGAUGACCAAAAAGCGUGGUCGGGCUCCGAGCAGCUCCAGCAACCCUCCUCCGCCUCUGAAGAAAGUCAGUGUUGGCCCUUCUAAGGCUUCUGUUCCUGCUCUGCCCCCUCCUCCACCUUAUAAGAGUGUCAGGGAGAAAACUACUGACAAGAGUUCUGAGGUCAGCACACGCUCUGGGGACCGAUCCUCCCAUCUUCCAGCUCGUGAUCAGGGUGAUUACCUGACCCCGUAUCAGAGGGACUAUGGGAAGUCAGUGGGACCGAAGAUGGUUCAGGACAUUGAGAGCAUGAAUAUCAAUAAACUAGCUGGUUCUGUCCAAAGGGUCUCCUUCAAGUUGGCCACCAUAGUCUCUUGUUACAAGAAUAGGAUCACGCGCCAGGAGAGGAAGCUCCAAGCUGAGAACCAGGACUUGAAGAAGAGGGUUGAGUCUGCUGAUCGCUCGAAAGAGAAGCUAGCCGAGCUGAACAGGCAGAUUACGGAGCUAGAGGAGAAAGUUGCGGUUGCUGAGUCCACUUCUUCCAAAUUUGAGGGUGAGUUGGGUGACCUGAAGUCCAAUCUUCAGGCUACUCAAAGUGAAAGAGAUACUCUGAGGACCGCCCUUGAGGGAGAGAUCAAAUCCCUGAGUGAACAGCUGGCUGAGGAGAAAGGCAAAUCUGCUGGAUGCCGAGUAUAACUCCGGGGUUGCUUUCAGCUAUAAGUGCAUCAUGUCUGUGCUUAAGGAAGAAUACCCCGAGCUGGACAUGAGCAAGCAGGAGGCUGAAGUGGAGAGAUAUAUGGCUGAGGCCGGCCAGGGAGAUAAGGAGCAGGGUGAGCAGGAGCAGGUGGAGGCUCCUUUGGAUGGGGUGUAGGAGGGGGAAGCUGGGGGACGUGCUUUCGAAGUGGGUCAAGGGUUCGUGCCUCCUCCUUCUGGUAUUGCUGAUCUCCCACCUCCUGAGACUGCUGAUCCUUCACCUCCCGAGAUUGCUGAUCCUUCAGCUGCUGGAGCCGUUGACUCUUUUAAUCUUUAAGUCUAUUUUUUGUAUAAACUCGUAUUUGUUUUGUAAACAAUUGAACAUUUAUAAAUUUUUAGAUGCUCUCUAUUGGCUUUCUUGUCUGGUUUUUUGCUCAUAGAUUGUUUCUACAAAAUAAUUGGACAACUUAUCUGGUUUGCCUGCUGGUUCCUUAGUGGACCGAGCAGGAGUAGGCAUUUACUUGCCUUAGUAAAAUUUUCGUCGAAUUAGCUGCUGGUCUUUCGUUGACCGAGCAGACGCAUACACUUUCUUGCCUUAGUAAAAUUUUCGUAAAAUUAGUUGUUGGUCUUUCGUUGACCGAGCAGAAACAAACACUUACUUGCCUUAGUAAAAUUCUCGUAAAAUUAGGUGCUGGUCUUUCGUUGACCGAGCAGAAACAUGCACUUACUUGCCUUAGUAAAAUUCUCGUAAAUUUAGCUGCUGGUCUUUCAUUGACCGAGCAGAAACAGGCACUUGCUUGCCUUAGUAAAAUUCUCGUAAAAUUAGCUGCUGGUCUUUCGUUGACCGAGCAGAAACAGACACUUAUUUGCCUUAGUAAAAUUUUCGUGAAAUUAGUUGCUGAUCUUUCGUUGACCGAGUAGAAGACUGCACUUACUUGCCUUAGUAAAAUUCUCGUAAAUUUAGUUGCUGGUCUUUCGUUGACCGAGCAAAAAUAGGCACUUGCUUGCCUUAGUAAAAUUCUCAUAAAAUUAGCUGCUGGUCUUUCGUUGACCGAGCAGAAACAGGCAUUUAUUUGCCUUAGUAAAAAUUUCGUGAAAUUAGUUGCUGGUCUUUCGUUGACCGAGCAGAAGCAGACACUUACUUACCUUAGCAAAAUUUUUAUUGGGCUUGCUAGCAGGGGGAUUUCAUGCUGAAUUCAUCUUUAUUUGAAAUUUGAAUGUAUUACAAAAAUACAUAAUAUAUACAUGCGCAACAAGCCAUCAUGCAGUUAAUAAAAAUAACCUGCCUUAGUAAAAUUUAUUUGCCUUAGUAAAAAUUUCGUGAAAUUAGUUGCUGGUCUUUCGUUGACCGAGCAGAAGCAGGCACUUACUUACCUUAGCAAAAUUUUUAUUGGGCUUGCUAGCAGGGGGAUUUCAUGCUGAAUUCAUCUUUAUUUGAAAUUUGAAUGUAUUACAAAAAUACAUAAUAUAUACAUGCGCAACAAGCCAUCAUGCAGUUAAUAAAAAUAACCUAUCAAAAUGAGGAUUUAGUAGAGCACUUUGCUUACUGAAAAUACUUCUUUAAGUGCUUGGCGUUCCACGACCUCUUCACGUCUCGUCCAUCUUGGUAUGCUCACUUAUAAGCUCUUGGUCCAGUGGCUCGUAUCACCCUGUAUGGGCAUUCCCAUUUCGGGCCAAGAGCGCCAUGGUUAGGAUCCCUGGUGUUUUGGUUCACCUUCCUAAGUACCCAAUCUCCUGCUCGGAACUGCCUCACGCGUACGUUCUUGUUGUAAUAACGCAUGACCUUUUGCUGACACUGGGCCACUUUCUUCGAGACCCCUUCCCUUUUCUCCUCAAGCAGGUCCAGGCUUAAGCAGAUUUGCUCGUCGUUUUGCUCCUCAGUGAAAUAUUCCGUUCAAUGUGUCCCCACUCCAAUUUUUGCUGGGACUACCGCCUCAUGACCAAAAGUUAAAGCGAAGGGGGUUUCCCCUGUGGCGGUUUUGUGAGUUAUCCGGUAGGCCCAUAAUACUCCUGGUAGUUCGUCAACCCAAGCUCCCUUCUUCUCUCCCAAUCUAAUUUUCAAGAGUUUUUUUAUCACUUUGUUGGCUGCCUCCACUUGUCCAUUUGCCUAGGGGUGUGCGGGGGUGCAGAACUUCAGGUCCACCCACAAAUUUCGGUAAAAUUCCCUGAAGUUACUGUUGUCAAAUUGCCUCCCAUUGUUUGUAAUGACGACAUAGGGGAUCCCGUAUCUGCAGAUGAUAUUCUUCCAAAUAAAAUCCGUUGUCUUUCUCUCCGUGAUUUGGCUGAGGACUCCCACUACUACCUACUUGGUGAAGUAGUCUAUUGCCACAAUUGCAUGUGUCGCCGCUCCUCGGCCCUUAGGUAACGAACCAAUCAAGUCGAUUCCCCAUUGAGCGAAAGGCCACGGGGAUGUCAUAGUGGUCAGCUUUUCUGGGGGUUGUGCAGGAAUCUCAGAGAAGCUUUGGGAGGUUUUACAGUUCUUUGCCAUCUUUUUCGCAUCCUGGUGCAUGGUCGGCCAGAAGUAUCCUUACUGGAGUGCCUUGAAGGCUAAAGUUCUUGCUCCCGAGUGAUUGUCGCAUAUUCCUUUAUGGAUCUCCCUUAGUACAUAAUCUGUCUCCUCGUCAUCCAAACAUCUCAAAAGGGACAAGGUGAACCCUCGGCGGUACAGCAUUCCAUCUAGUAGCGUGUACCUCGCUGCUCGGCAUUUUAAUUUUCUUGCUUGCCUUUUGUCUUCUGGUAAAACUCCAUCGCGCACAUAUGCGCGAAUCGGGUCCAUCCAGGAUUCACCAGUGCUUACUCUCAUCACCUCUACUUCCUCCCUUAUACUUGGCGAGGUCCUUACCUCUAAUGGAACCGACUUAGGUAAUUUCGGAUCUGCAAUUGCAGCCAUCCUAGCCAACAUAUCCGCUCAGUAAUUCUCAUUUCGGGAUAUCUGCUUUACCUCCACCUCUUGGAAAAGCCCGACCAUAUGCUUCGCCUUCUUCAAAUAAAGACCCAUCCUCUCUCCCCUUGCUUGGAACUGAUCAUUGAGCUGAUUACAUACCAAUUGGGAAUCUGAUCGAAUUUCUACCUUCUCUACUCUUAAAGCGUGUGCAAGUCCGAGCCCGGUGAUAAAGGCUUCAUAUUCAGCUUGGUUGUUUGUGAGCUGGAAUUCGAACUUCACUGUAUACGUUAUUUCGGUUCCUUCUGGGCUCCGUAUUACAACUCCCGCUCUGGAUCCUUGCUCACUACAUGAUCCGUCAACCAUUACCAACUACACCCCCUCUGUUUUCUCCUGCUCUAUUGGUUGCUCCUCCCGAAUUUCUUCCCCUAGCUCAGCUCGGUCAACCAUAAAUUCUGCCAAAGCUUGGGCUUUGAUUACUCCUCGGGGCCUAUAGGAGAGGUCAAAUUCACUUAGCUGCACGGACCAUUUUACUAACCGACUAGAUGCAUCUGGUUUUUGAAGUGUUUGCCAAAGGGGCUGGUCAGUCAUCACAACAAUCUGGUGGGCCUGAAAAUAUGGUCGGAGUUUUCGUGCUGCCGUUAUUAGACCCAGUGCCCACCUCUCUAUCAAUGGAUAUCUAGUUUCUGCGUCUACCAGGACCUUACUUGUGUAGUAUACCGGGUGUUGCUUUCCUUCUUCUUCCCUGACUAAUACCAAGCUGGUAGCCCAUUUAGAGAUUGCCAAGUACAGAAACAGCUGGUCACCCUCUCUCGGAGUCGAUAGUAACGGGGCGCGGGUCAGAUAUUCCUUCAGCUGCUCAAAUGCUUUCUCGCACUCUGAUGUCCAUUCCAUCUUUCUCCCUUUCUUUAUGGUUUGGAAGAAAGAGUGGCAUUUAUCUGUGGCCCGCGAGAUAAAUCGGUUGAAUGCUGCCAACUUCCAUGUAAGGCUCUGCACCUCCUUAACUGUCCGUGGGGACCUCAUUUCUGUCACCGCCCGUAUUUUUUCUGGGUUGGCCUCAAUGGCUUACCAGGAAUCCCAAGAACUUGCCUGAGCUGACCCCGAAUGCACAUUUGUCUGAGUUCAGCUUCAUUUCGUACUUCCUCAGCAAUUCAAAGGUCUCUUCUAGAUGCUUCACAUGAUCCCUUGGCUCUUUGGACUUUGUAAUCAUAUCAUCCACAUACACCUCCAUAGUGUGUCCAAUCAACGGUUUGAAGAUCCUGUUUACCAACCUUUGAUAGGUGGCUCAUGCAUUUUUUAGGUCGAAAGACAUUACCAUAUAGCAAAACAAACCCAUGUUAGUUAUAAAAGUGGUGCUUUCCUCAUCCUGCUCGUCCAUGGGUAUCUGGUUGUAUCCAGAAAAGGCAUCCAUGAAAUGUUUGCCAAAGGGGCUGGUCAGUCAUCACAACAAUCUGGUGGGCCUGAAAAUAUGGUCGGAGUUUUCGUGCUGCCGUUAUUAGACCCAGUGCCCACCUCUCUAUCAAUGGAUAUCUAGUUUCUGCGUCUACCAGGACCUUACUUGUGUAGUAUACCGGGUGUUGCUUUCCUUCUUCUUCCCUGACUAAUACCAAGCUGGUAGCCCAUUUAGAGAUUGCCAAGUACAGAAACAGCUGGUCACCCUCUCUCGGAGUCGAUAGUAACGGGGCGCGGGUCAGAUAUUCCUUCAGCUGCUCAAAUGCUUUCUCGCACUCUGAUGUCCAUUCCAUCUUUCUCCCUUUCUUUAUGGUUUGGAAGAAAGAGUGGCAUUUAUCUGUGGCCCGCGAGAUAAAUCGGUUGAAUGCUGCCAACUUCCAUGUAAGGCUCUGCACCUCCUUAACUGUCCGUGGGGACCUCAUUUCUGUCACCGCCCGUAUUUUUUCUGGGUUGGCCUCAAUGGCUUACCAGGAAUCCCAAGAACUUGCCUGAGCUGACCCCGAAUGCACAUUUGUCUGAGUUCAGCUUCAUUUCGUACUUCCUCAGCAAUUCAAAGGUCUCUUCUAGAUGCUUCACAUGAUCCCUUGGCUCUUUGGACUUUGUAAUCAUAUCAUCCACAUACACCUCCAUAGUGUGUCCAAUCAACGGUUUGAAGAUCCUGUUUACCAACCUUUGAUAGGUGGCUCAUGCAUUUUUUAGGUCGAAAGACAUUACCAUAUAGCAAAACAAACCCAUGUUAGUUAUAAAAGUGGUGCUUUCCUCAUCCUGCUCGUCCAUGGGUAUCUGGUUGUAUCCAGAAAAGGCAUCCAUGAAACUGAGCAGACUGUGACCUGCUGUUGAGUCCACCAGCUGAUCUAUUUUAGGUAGGGGAAAGCUGUCCUUCGGGCAUGCCUUAUUGAGGUCUGUGAAGUCCACACACAUUCUCCACUUCUCGUUGGCUUUUUUUACCAGUACUACAUUGGAAAUCCAUUCCGGAUACUUGUUUUCCCUUAUAAAUCCUGCUUUCAACAGCUUCUCCACUUCGGUGUUUAUGGCAUCACACCUUUCCUGGUUAAAGCAUCUCCUUUUCUAUAUCACCGGCCUCGCCCCCUUCUUGAUUGCCAACUUGUGGCAAGUUACCCUGCUAUCAAUUCCUGGCAUGUCCUCGUGAGACCAGACGAAUAUAUCUGCAUGGGACUGUAGGCACUUUACCAGCUCGCCUUUUACUGUCCCGACCAAUCCUGAUCCGAUCUUAAUCACUCUGCUCGGGUUGCUUUUACUUACCACAAUCUCUUUUAGCUUCUCAAUAGGUUCUUGGCGACCCUUUUUAGAAUCUCCAGCAUUAUCUAGAGAAGUAACCUGUAGUGUCUCCUUGGCUGCUGUAGCAUAACAGCUCCUUGCCAUCCUCUGGUCGCAUUUUACUACGCCAACCACUCCAUUUACUCUGUAUUCCAGUGCCAAGUAAUGCGUUGAUAUAACGCAUUGGCUUAUCCUCAUGAACGGUCUCCCUAAUAUCAUUUGGUAAGGGCUUCUUUCCUCUAUCACGACAAAGUCCAGUAUCAUCGUUCUUUCAAACGACUUUGUCCCCACAGUAAUCGGGAGUUCAAUGAUCCCCAUGGGAGUUAACCGUCCUCCUCCAAAUCCCUUCAAGGAUGUAUUCGUCCGCUCCAGCUUUAGAUCUGAAAUCCCCAUAUCAUCUAGGGCCGACUUAAACAGAAUAUCGACUGAGCUGUCCGUGUCUACCAGUAUUCGCCGCAAUUCUGUACUAGCCACCAAUGCUUUAAUUACCAGUGCAUCCUCAUGAGGAUACAAAAUAUCCUCUUCGUUAUCCUCCGUCCACAUAAUGGGAACUUGCCACACUUUUACUCUCUUGGCUGCUGGCAAAUUGAGAAGCACCUCUUUGCCAGUCAUGGCGUAUCUCCCAUAGUUCUUCCGUGCUCUGUUCGAAUCCCCGGCCAAUGUUGACCCUCCUGCUAUCACACGGAUGGUCGGCUUUUCACGUUUCAGACUCUUCUCAACUCCUUCAUCCCACGUGUACUGUGAUUCAAUGACAGGGGACACUCCAUCUACAUACUCAUCCAAGUAUCGAUUUCUCACUAAAUCCUCUACCUGAAUCUUCAGGUCACGACAUUGGCUGAUAGUGUGACCGUGGGUGUCGUGAAAUUUACAGAAUCUGCUCUUAUCCCGUCGGUGAGCCGGUUUUGUUAUAGGGGCUGGAGGGUACAACAUGCCUUAUCCCUCGAUCCUCUCAUACAAUUCCUCCAUGGAGAUCUUUAAUGGAGUGUACUGUCUAUAUGCCAAGCUCUAGUCUACCAGUUGAACUGCUCGGCUAUCAUAAAUGUCAUCUCGGGCUGGUAUAAUCGCUAGCUGAUCUGGUCGUCCAGCCCUGGAACUAGUUGCAUGUAACGCUCUAGGAGUGUUGUGAUAAGGGUGGGCAGCCAUCUGCUUGAAUUCUCGUUACCGCUCUGGGAACAGGGUGCGCGAAGGUUGGGCCCGGCUAUGUUGGAACUGUUGUGGUCUCUGAGCUAUGAGGUAAGGGCAGGACCGAGCUGAUAUUCAGCCCAUAACUGAGGAUUCCCUAGCUCGCUUUCCCGAUCUGCUCCUGUUCGGGGCUCUCCGUUCUUUUCGCCUCAGCUCUUCCAGCUGUUCACUCUUUAUCCUUACCGAUUUCUCCUCUUCAAUUUCAAUCUAUCUCGCCUCGCCUGUUCAUACCCCGCUGAAUAAUUCUGCACUAGGGGGCUUCUUAAGUUAUACCACAAUCGACCGAUUUUUACACCUUCUUUUAAUCCCCUUAACGCCUGUGGGUGAUUAAAAGCUCCCAAAUCUAGCACGGCCCGGUGAUAUUGCUUUACAAAAUCCUGAAGGGACUCAUGCUCCUCUUGUUUCAUCCCCAUCAGUUCCAUCAUGUCGUCCUCUGGGGCUACUGCCCAUUGGAACUGUUCGGCCAACUCUUGGCACAUCUGCUCGUACCAUUUUAUACCUCCUCGGGGCAGCUUGCGGUACCAUUCUCGGGCUCGCCCCUCGAGUGUCAACGGGAACACCCUGCACCUUUGAGCUGGUGUCAACCCCUGCACCCCGGUCAUGUCGUUGAAACGCUCAAUAUACACCAGAUGGUCACUUCAACUGGAGUAUUUGAGGUCGGGGAAGCGGAAAUCUCUUGGGAUUACUGUACCCAUGAUCUCGGUUGAUAACGAAGAUUCUUCAUCCAGCAUUCUUGCUCUGUAUCUCCUCCAUCACCUGCGCCAAUCUGUGCACCUCCCCUUCCAAUUCUACGGCACGGUCAGGAUCACGUGCAGCUAUCUGGUCUCGUUCCAGCUCGGCAUUGUGCAACCGCUGUCUGAGCUCUCCUUCAUCAACACUGGCCCCUCGGCCAUUGACUUCCAGUACCCGUCCGGGGAGAGGUUGGUCCCUCCAUUCAUCUACUCGUUCUCCUGGAACCCGACCAAUGCUUCUGUGGGGAUGCACCCCGUUAGGUUGGUCUGCCGGCGGAGGGAUUUCCUCGACUCUAUGCCUCCGGAGGCUGGGUUCUGCUCCAACAUCAUCUCUCCCCACGAGGGUUUCACAAUCCCUUCUCCGCUCAUCCCUCAGCUCGUACAGUAUGGUCGCGAGAGUCUCCAUUUGUUUCUCCAUCCGCUCCAAUCGAUCUUGCAUCAUCCUCUCCCGGGCUUCAUUUGUAAUUUCCCGAAGAGUGAUUGUCUCCCCAGCUUCGUUAUCCUCCCUCAAAGCGUCCUUCCUUGGCACAUCCAUGUCUAAUCGUUCGUUGUUUCUCCGGUAACUACUAAUUCGGUGGUAGCUUUUUAUCCAGCUCCCCACAGACGGCGCCAAAAUGUUGAUGCUGAAAUCUGCUCGCCCUUUGACCGACCAGAUUCUUUCACCAACGUUUAUGUUAUCAACUGUUGCUCGAACCACUGGGGUUGAAAUCACCCUCCUUUCUCUUACUAGACAUGCGUUCACCAAAAACGGAUCAGAGACACCGGUGGUUUUGCCGGCGUAAACCCUCCGAUGCCUAAGUUAGCACAAGGUGUUUACAGGAAAACAAUACAAUUUGGUUUUAAGAAUGGUUUCUAGUUUAUUCAAAGUUUGUAAGAAAAUUACCUGGUUGCAAUUUGGCAUCAUUUUCCUUCUCUCCGUUUUUUCUGUCUCCUUCUUCAUCGAUUUCUUCUUCUUUUAUAGCCGUUGUCCCACGUUUCCAUUUACCCUUCAUCCCCCCUUUUUCGGAUAGUGGCAGCCCAUCAUGGGACUUUAACUGCUACAUUGUGGGCAAACGUGGGAUCUCGCGUCUCCCGCAACGGUUCUGAGAAAAGCGCAACUACCGUGAUUUUAUGGGAUCGUGUUCCCGCUUUUUGGGGAAUUGGUAUCGGCUCAGUAUAUGACUCUGGUCGGUAUAUUACCCUGGCCGGUACUCGUCUCUAGUUGGCUCAUGUUUAUCCCCGUGUUCUGCUCAUACCACUUGGCUGAGGUGAUCCAUGCCGGGGCGGAAAUAGUAGCAUGGCCGACCUGGUGCUUUUAUUUACUUAACAUCAGUGUUUGAAUCAAAGAUUUAAACUCCCAGUAAAAUGCUAUUUCAAGUCAUCAUAGAUUAAAGUAUGGCCAUGAGAGAGGGGAAUCAAUAGCCAAAUCUACUGGGACAUGAACUUGCCCACCAAAGAAAAAAGAUGAAUUUUUUUUUUUGAUUGUUGUCAAUAUUUUCUCUCCAUUAGAGUUAAAGAUGUUAUAUCAUGUAAUGGUCAGUUUAAUUAGGCUUGUUCAGUUUACCGUCGAUUUAACCUUUCUCUAAAAUUUCACAUAUGAUUUAUUGAUUACAUUAGUAUAAUAUACUCCUUCUAUCAGUUUUGUGUGAUUAAGGCAUUAGUUUUAUUUUUACUAAGAGGACAUUUUUUAUUAUGCUAUUUAAAAUUAAUGGAUCUAUUUUCAGUGCCAAUUUUGCAUUGAUUAUGUUGUGUCAUCUUUGUAUAUAGUAUACUCUUGAAAAUCCUUUUUGAGUGAUUGAAUUUUAUCGCUACUUAACAAAAUAUAAAGACUUGAUGGUAUCGAGGAUAUAGAACAAAUUGAAUAAAGAUUUACCGAUAUGUUCCAAACCUUGGUAGAAUUGUUAAAGGUACUUUAGAUCGUACUAAUUCACCAUUAAAAAAAAUAUGUACCAAUUCAAAAGCCACACUAUUAUUGAAAGAGAAAUCUCCUCAAAUUAAUUUAUAGAUGCUUAUUAAAAUAAAUUAUUUCUUAAUGUCAAUAAAUAAUUGGCUAACCAAAAAGUAAAAUAAAGAAAACUUAUGACAGCCACUAUAAAAAAUAAAUAAAUAAACAAUGGCAGCCACAGAUGUUUCAUCUUUCACAAAACCAUUCUUGCUUUAGCCUUUAUGUGUGAAGGGGGCCAACAUCAUCUUGAUCAUCAAAAAUAUUAUUCUUCUUUACUAGGUUUAAAAAAAGGCAGGCACAAAACAAAGAUAAAAAUUGAACAGGGAGAAAAGACUUCGAAUGCGAAUAAGGUAAGAGAGAGAGAGUAACAUUAAUGUUUUAUCUCUUACUUUUUUUUUAACUUUUAAAAUAUUAAAGGAUAAUGAGAAGAGGAAAAUUUAAAACUUUUGUUCUAUAAUUUUCUUAACAUAUAUCGUCACAUGUCUUAUAAUUUGUUGGUAGUUCCACAUCAAAUUAUAACAUGGAAUCUCGGAUAUAUUUUAGAAUUUCUCCUUAGUUGAAAUACUUAUUUUAGAUCUCAACUGAUGUGUCGCUAAUAAUAAAAUUUCAUCAUUUAAAUAAAAAAUAAUAAAAUUUAAUUAUUAAUUAUCACUUAAUCCAAUCAAAUAAUGCCACAUUAUUUACAAAAAAAAAAUGAUAAAACUUAAUUACUAUGAACCUUCAAGUUGCAUGCAACUAAGAGUCAUAAGAGUCGGCCAAAGGAUUCCAUCUGUCUUCGUUUGUAAACAUUUCAAUGCUUAGUAUCCAUCGAUUUUGUUGACUUCGAUGGGUUGACUAUGAAGCUUUUAUUGUUAGUGAGUAGCUAUUUAUGGAAAGAUUUGGUCUUUUUCUUUGUCAUACAUAAUUCCUUUUUGUUUGCAAUUGAUGAAUAAUUUUUAUAAUUAAAUUAAAUGAAUAAAUUUUUUUAUUUAAUUAAAGAUUAAUGUUACUUUAGAAGUUUUAUGUUAUUUUUGUAAGUGUUUUUUUUUUAUUUAUAAUUUUAAAACACUAUUUUACUACUCUUAUGUUAUUUUACUUAUUUUACCUUUUUUUUUAAUUUUAUGUAUAAUUUAUAAAAUUUAUAUUUAUCACAACAUUGAUGCUAUAAUUUUAAUCAAAGCAUUACAGAAUUUUCCGUUAGAAUAUACAGGAAAUACUAAGAUUGAUUCAUAAAACCGGCCAUUGGUCGUACUUCAAGGGCUGCUUCCUACCUCAUGAAGAUCUCUGUCUUCCAGAGAGGAUUUGCUUCUUGUAGAGGUAAAUCAACUUUCAGUGGUUGUUAUUUUGUUGUCUGUGUUAAUUUUAGUACAUUUUUAAUGCGUAUGCAAGCAAUGGUCAUCAUCUAUAAGAGUCCGAACAUUUUGAAAAUAGAUAUGCAUGUGGAUGUUAUUAUCAUUUGGUUACAAAAUUCUCUAUCAGGUUAAAUUUUUUGACAUCAGAUGUCAUAAUUAAAUUUAAAAAAAAAACACACAAUAUACAGAGUGGGAAAAAAUUCAAGAUGGGUGAGCUAUUGACUUUACGUGAGAGAGAGUCAGCAGAUUGAUACAUACAUACAUACAUAUAUAUAUAUAUAUAUAUAUAUAUAUAUAAAACUUAAGGCGCUUACCACUCGUCCUAAAAGCUUAAGCUGUUAGGAGAAGGCGCUACUUUAUACUUAAGCACCACCCGGACCAAACCAGGUAACGUCUCCACGUUAUGCCACGACAUCGUGACCCCACAUCGGCCUUACAGGAGUCACCACAAGGGUGCGGGCCCCAGUUCCAGUACUGGGAUAAUAUAUUAAGCCCAUUCCUCCCCCCCGAGUUUCGAACCCUGGCUGGCUCUGAUACCACUUAAGGCGCUUACUUAGAAAUUUUUGGAAGUUCCCAACAAUCAAAGCAUGCUUGCAGACUGGUUUUUAUCAGAUUUGCCAUAAAAUUUCUACGUUCCUCUGAGGCAAAGAGACCGGAUCUCGAUCCUCAGUUGUAAAUCUUCUCUUCUCCCUCCAUUCCUUCAGAGCACCAUUUCCGGGAUUCCGGAUCUGGUACUGUGUAUGUACCCAAACCUCUAAAAGAACCUAAUCUAAAUAUGAUAGUAACCCAAUAAAAAGAAUCAACCACGUUUAAAGCAACUUAACUUUAUUUGGUAAAAUAAAACUGAUUUGGUAUAUCGGCUGGAAACCCGAACGUGCGGACUAUUGAUCUGUUCUAAGUCAGAUCUGGGUCCAAAGGCUUCACUUUGUGUAGCAUCGAUCUGGUUUAACAACGCCACGUACCAAUUAGUUAUUAAAAAUUUGACCAACCGCGCGCGAUUCAAUUAUUUCUUUAAAAGUAAACAAUAAAGAGUUUUGACGAAAACACAUCCAUCAUUCAAUCCUAUUUCCUUCUGGUAUAAUAGUGUAAUAACAUUAUAUUAUUAAAUUAUAUAGUUUAAUAAUUUUUUGAAACUUCAAUAAAAUUUAAAAUCCUGACCAGAUCAGCUCUCUCUCUCUCUCUCUCUCUAUAUAUAAAUAUAUAUGUAUGCAUAUGCUUGUAAUAAUGAUUGAAUAGAUUUUAAUUUUGUUCUUGGAUUAAAUGACUUUCUUGUAUGUCUGCGUGGACUAACGUAACACAUUAAAAAAAUAAAGCUAUUAUCAGCACCAAUAUUUGGAAAAUGUAAUUAUUAUAUGAUUACAUUUACAUAUAAUUGUACUCUUCGAUGAGUUAUUGGUCAGUCAUUUUCAAUACUCAAUGAAAAUUUACUUUAAUUUGCUUGUCAUUUUCAGCUUUAUUCUAAAAUGUGCGAAAAAGAAGUGUUGUGGGAAUUAAAGCUUAGCAAAUUCCAAGCCUUGUUGGUUAAGCAAAACAACAUAUUAAGUGAAAGUUGAAAGGAGUUCCAGAAAGGUACUUUAUUAUUAAUGCAUUCUAUUUUUUCUUUAGAGAUUUGUUUGAUAUGGUAUCUUUCUUUCAUUGGUACUUUCAGAAUUAUUAUUGGUUACUACAACUUUUUUAUUCCACUAGCUACAUUAUAGUUAUGAUUGCCUAGAAGAGAAAACGAAGAAAAGCUUGGGAUUUAAAGCUUAAAAAAUCUUGCAAAACUUUUUCUUAAUUUCUAACAGUAUAUUUUUCCCUUAUUCAUUAUAAGUUUUGUCAAUUUUCUCUUCCACUCAAAUUUAUCAGUAGCUCUCUGGUGCCACAUCUGUACAGUUGAAUAUUAAAAUUUGAGGCUACAAUCGUAUCUGGUUAUAACUUAACAUUGUGUUGUAGUUAUAUCACAUCUAAUAUAUAUUGUGUCAUAAAUUCCUAUCUUAUUUGGGUUUAAUUAUUUGCGAAUGUUUCUUCAAUAUAGUACUUCCAUUUGGCCUUCCCUUUUAAUGUUUUGGUGGCUAAAACGAAUGUGUGAUUCUUAUUGUUAUUUUUUUUAAUAUAAUAUCGACCUUCUUGUCAAAAAAACAAAAGAAAUAUUUUAUUAAAAAAUAGAAUAAUUUUAGCUCGAGCAUAUAAAUAUAAAGUUUGCCAUGCAUACAGGCUAGACAGGGAGAGGCAAUAUCAACAAAGUCAAAAAAGUGAAUAUAUAAUAAUAAUAAUAAUAAUAAUAAUUUUCUAGUGAAUUAUCUUUAUUUUAACAAAAUGAAGAUGCUAUUAAUAAACAUCAACCACAGUCUCUAAUAUAUUGAAUUUUAUAAUUUUUUUUUUAUAUUUUACUGAUAUCCUAACUUUUAAUAAAGUGAGGAUGUCCUCAUUAGAGAAUAACUAUAUAUAUACGAUUAAACAUAUAAAUUACUAAUCAUAAAAUUAUAAGAGAGCUAAGGAUGUUCACUUUUUUUUUAAAAUACAAAUUUUAAAUAAUGCAAUGCAUUAUUACUUUAGGUGAAAGAGUCUUGCACGUAAUCGUAAUAUUCACGCUUGAUAUCCACAUUGCAGACUUUGCAGAUAAUGGAUUAAUUGUUCUAGAAUGUUAUGAACGAUUUUUUUUUUCCCCUUAAUAAUUAUCUAAUAGACUAAAUGACCAAAGUGUUAUCAAUAAAAUUGAGUGGGAAAUCUGUCAAAUUAAUUCAUGGUAUGUGUGGCACUCAAUACCACUAGAUCUAGUUCACAAAAAUAUAAUGAUGGUAAGCAAUACAAAGUUAAUUAAUUGGAAUUAAUAGUUGACUCAUUUACUCAUUUUUCCUUUUGCACUAAAUAUGGACAUAAAACCAACCACAUCAUUGCCAUUUUUCUCACGCUUCGCUCUCAUUCGUACACCAAGAAUAUUCCAUAAACCUUCUGAUGAUUACUAAUUGAAAAAGUUCAAAUUUGAUACCAAUUGAAUUGGAUUUCAAGUUGUUGUGAAUAAUAUUCCUGCUUGCUAUAUGCAUAUAUAUCAUUGAGACUUUUGAUAGCAAAAAUUUAAGAGAAUAUAUAUAAAAUAAAUUUAUAUGUUAAUUUAUUUAGAUUAUUAUCAAGCCAAAAAGUCUCUUUUACAAACAUAUUAUAAAAGUAGCUAUUAUUUGAUAUGCUUGUUCUAAUGGAAUCCAUGAUGUGUUAGUAAGCGAUAGCUGGUGUGUCUGAUAAAGUAUAGGCUUGUAGAUUAGUACCUGUUAGAAUUUAUUCCAUAUCUUUGAUUAUGAUUAUCUUCCUUUUUUUUGAAGAAAAAUUAAGGUUAUUAGGCUAUACUGCUUGAGUAUCUUGCUUUUUAAUUUUCUUUUUUUUGAUGACAGAACUUAAAGGCAGAAGCAGGGUUAAUAGAGUGCGCAUUCAUCUCUGUGGUCAUUUAAAUUCAGUUAAUUUUUACACAAAGACUGCCUUUCUUCCAACUCAUCAAAAACAUAUUGAAACUUUAAUUGAUUAUGUAUUAAUAAUUUAAUAAUAUGUUGUAUCCACCUUUCUUUCUUUUUUUUUUUUAAAAUAAUUUUCUAAUUUUUAUAUCCUCCCCCGGCCUCCGCUGCAGCCAGCAGCCUGCUUCAUCAUACAAAAGAAAAAAAUAGAACCACCACUAGUUUAAUUUUCCUUUUUUUUUUCUUUUCAAUAGUACUAUUACUUUAUCCUUAAUUAAUUAUUAAUUACACUUAGAAUAAUGCAUAUGGUUGUUUUAAUUUAAAACUUGAUUAAAGAUCUAUUCCGAUGAUCAUUCUGCAGAUGUAAUUUCCACAUAACAUUGAGAAACAGAAAAAAGAAAAAAAAUGAACCAGAAAAGAAAAGAAACUGCUUUAUUCAUGGCUGGCAAAAUUCCAUUUAUCAUAUAUGGAUUUAUUUGUGUACUUUCUUCGCUAACACAAGUGAUUUGAUUCAGAAAAUUAAACAAAAAUUUACAUGGUACACAAUCUUAAAAAAGACCAUUCUAUGUAAAAUCCAUGCAAAUAAAAAGUACCCCAAUUCUAUAUAAAGAUCCAAAAUCCAGAUAAAAUUUCACCCCCCCCCCCCCNNNNNNNNNNNNNNNNNNNNNNNNNNNNNNNNNNNNNNNNNNNNNNNNNCCCCCAGUACUUGAUCCUUAAAUUGCCCUAAUUAAUUAAUUAACCAACCCCCCAAUAGUUGUAAUAACUAUUGCUAUAUGUAUAUGUAGCUAAUUUACAUCAAGAUUGCAUAGCGCAAGCUGUCACUGACCAUCAAAUGAUUCAUUUCUGAUAUUUGAGUGAACUCACCGGACACCCAAGAGCCAUCAGCAGCACCAUUAACAUGAGGCUGUGAGAAGCAACUGAAGACCUCGACCGGCACCCGGACGACUGUGUAGAUGAUUGAGAAAGCAAGAUUCAAUGCGUCCCUUCUUGAUCUUCUGUUCAUUCCAUGCACAAACAUUGGCAGCGGAUGAGCUCCAUUCAGCAUCGUCUCAUCCGCCACCCGCGGGCUCUUUCUUGGCCUCAACAUGCGCCACAUUUUUUUUUUCUCUAUGGAAAAUUUUAGAGUCUGUUGGUUGCUGCUGCUCCUUGUAUUGUGAAGAGAAAAUGGUUGCGAGGACCACCUAAUUUGUAUAUAGAGAGGGAGGGGAUCUUUUUGGCUUUUGAUGAUAAUGGCUAGUUGGUAGUGCUGUUGAUAGUGCUUGUGUUAAUCACAAAAUGUUAUGGGUCUCUUUUAAAGGACCCCUUCACUCAUAUUAUCAUUUUUUUUAUUCUUUCUAUCAAAUCGUGGGGUCGUUCUUGCCCAAUUUGCCGACAAAGUUGCCUAAUUAUUCAAAAGAAGUUUUCAAAAUUAAAAUCACUUCAUUUGGCAAAUGCAAAGAAAAAUUUUUUAAGAGAGACCUAACAGUUCAUGAAGCUUAAGACAAAAAGUGCACCUGAGUAAUCUUUGGAUAUCAAUUUUAGAUGACCAAUUGCUGGCUAAAUUUUGCUUAUCAUGCGUUAAAUUUUUUCCAGCUAUUCUGUAAUGAAAUGUAGAAUAUUUAUUUAAUUGACAUUGUUCGACAUGAACAUUUGUACGUUUUAAAAUAGAAAUUUGAGUUAGACAACAAUCUUACUUUAUAAUAUUAAAUUAUAGUUAAAAUAUCAUUGUAUAGCACAAAAUUACUUUUUAAAGCAUACAGAAAUCUAUACUUAAAAUGUUUUAAAUAUAUAUAUCAAUUUCAUUUUAACUGGACAAAUUAUUUUUGUAGUCUCCCUUUCUAAGGUCCUACUUUUAUUAGUCUCCAAGGGGAGAAUAAUACGUGCAAUAUGAUUGUGAAAGAGACCUGUAUGUCUAUGGUAUCAUUACAAGUAUUGCUCCACUAAUAGUGCUUGAAGCAAGUUGCAUAUGCAUGCCAAUAAACAGGUAAUUGAAUAAUUUUAUUUACAUUUAUGGAAAAAAAUAAAAAAAAAAGAAUGAGAAUGAUGAUAUAUGACUGAUGAUGAUCAUGAACCAUAUUUUAGUUGUCAUUUUCAUUGUCGCCUCUGGUUUUAUUUUAAGCCCACAUGUUAUUCCAUUAUUAAGAAACACUAUAUACUAAGGUUCAAUAUAAAUGGAUAUAUAAAUAAUUUUUGGAAUAAAUAUACAACAAAGCCAUUGAUGUCCAAAAAGGUGGACAUUUAAAAUAAUAAAAAAAAAAAAUAAAACAUGUUGAAAUGGAUUCAUUCAAUAAUGCUAAUACACUUGAUACAAAUUAUGCACUUUUUUUUUUCGUUUGUUUGAAACCUCCAUUUAUGUAAGACGGGAAAUUUAUUUUAAAACCUUCACUGAAACGGAAAAUGACUUUUAAUUAAUUUUCUUUUAUAAUGCUGCAUUCAUUUGUCUACAUUAUCUUCAUCAAUUAUAUAAUGUAAUAUGUUCGUGGCUUAUAGGAACACACUAGAGUCAUUAGUGCACCACCUUUACCCUCCAGAGACCACAUGAUUAGCAUCAAACCCUACAAGAAAAAAGUCGAUUAUAUAUUCUACCAAGUAUCAACAUAUACAUUUUGUUAAUUCAUAUUGCUAUAAUGGAUAUAUAAAAUUAAUCUUCCAAUAGCCUUAGGUGCUAUUGGUUGACAAGCGAUUACAAGUCAAAGUCAUCGGUCUCCUAGCCAAGUCAAUAAGUAUCUUAUAAGAAAAGGGUUAAUAAUUAAUUUUAAAAAAUCAUCAAAUAAGUAUGAAUUUUAUAUCCUUCAAGUAAAAAUAUUCUUGAGUACGAUUUUAUAAAAUCCUAAUAUAACGUGUGAAUGUAUGCAGAAGAGAAGUACUGAAUCUAUUUGCAAAUGAGAAAGAACUCAUUCAUACUGCAUAUGUACAUACAUACUCUAUAUAUAUAUACAUACUCUAUAUAUAUAUACAUAUAUAUAUAGUAUGUAUGUAUGUAUGUAUGUAUGUAUGUAUGUAUAUGGGUAUUCCUGUAAUCUGUAAAGGGAUAAAUAUCUUUCUCCGAGUAUUGGUGUGUUAUUGGAUGAGACACGCUUGCAAGGGUUAGGUUCUGUGAUGUCACAUAACAUUGUUCCAAUCUUUGUUUGUGAUUCAGAUUCAAUGGUCAAUUACGUAGAAAAUAAAGCGGCCCAUUAAUUAAUUUUUUUUACUUAAGAGAUAAUGGAAGGUUAUACCCAUAUAUACCAACAUUAAUUCUUCUGGACCUACCAGCUGAUAAUGUUAAAGAUUUGUAGGAAUAUGGAUGCAAUGAAUUAGGUGCUAGUGAUGGUGCCAUGGAUUAAGUAGGCAAAGAGAAAAUCAAUCUGAGAUGUAUAGAUCCUCAUUUGUUGGGGAGAUUUUUUUUUUUUUUUUUUUUUUUUUUUUUUGGGGUCCCAAGAACAUUCUUUGGUGAUAGAAGAAGAACGUAAAGAAGUUAGGUUGGUAUAUAUGAUAGUUAAGAAUCAAAAUCCAAAUAAAAAUAUGUUUCUUGGUUUCAUCAUAAUGAAACUCAUGAUGCUGUCUGUUCGUCUCUAUUACGACUCUAAAUUCUACUUUGGUUCGGAACAAAUAUAAUAUUAAUAUGUAGGAGAGUUCUUGGUCAGCACCGGUUUUGUUGAAGGUAUGUUCUAUCAAUGAGCUGCGGUCAUAAUCAUUAUUUUCGAAUUAAGAAACUACUAUCAUCGUUGUAUCAUAAGCUCUCAAAGAUUACAAUAAUUAAAUGAGAUGGAUAAUCUUCUAUCCAUACAAAUGAAUCUCAAUACUAUAAAGUAAAUUUCGUUAAAGAAUUUACUACUUGAUUGCAAAUCAUUGAGACAUGAUAAAUUUGAAAACCUUAAUUUGAAGUUAGCAAGUGUUGAAUGUCAACUAUAAAAUAAAAUAAUUAGGUACAAGUAAAAGUUUGACCCGUAACUAAUUUAACAACGUUUAAUGAAUUCGACUCUACUACUAAUGAAAAUAAACUAAUCUCACUAAUAGUAUUUGAGAAUUAUAUUUAAAAAGAAAAAAAAAAGUGAAAUCAUUAAAGAAACAUUCAUAGAUUUAUUAGAAGAUAAAUUAUUUGUCGUGAUUUUGUCAUCUUUUUGUUUCUUUAUCAUUUUUCUUCUAAAAACCAAAUUGCGAUUGCCCAUUCAUCAUAAAUAAAUGAAAUGGCAAAUAAAGGGGCGGGCCGAUCCACAUCACUGAGCGGACCACAAAUUUCAUGAGAAAUUGAAUCCAUUGGGCCGGGCCUUGGCCUGAUGUGAAGACCGUGUGGGCAGACAUGAUUUCUCUCGGAUGGGGUAGUUGGUAAAUGUGAAGUAUAGACUGAUACAAUCUACAUAUAAUUGAAUUAGGGCACAUCCUGUAUCGUUGAAUUGCCCUUUUAUCUUUGGCUAAAAAGUGCCAAGUUUUCCUCUGCACUAUUUGUUGGUGAAAUGAAUUGAUUUACGAAAUACAUCUUAACUUUAACAUUUGGCACAAGUUGCUUCGCGUCUCAGCAUUCGAUUGCUUUGAUUUAAACCAAGGGUUAGCGAGGCCGAUGUUAAUUAAAUGUUUCACUUAUUCCCAACUAAUUAUUUGUCCGUAUAUUAUAAUGAUCGCGGCCACUUCUUUCUUCUUUUUGCAGCAAGCUGUGUCAGCUCACCAAAUUUCCAUGUAAGCCAUUCAACUUGAACAAAUUAAGGAUUAAUGAAAUUAAGUUAAAACAAAAACACUUUAUAUCAUCUGUUGAUUACCUUCAACUGUUAAAUUAUUAAAUUACCUCUUCUUGUUUUGAUAUUCUCUGCGCCUCAUAAGUUUAAGAAUCUUAUUUUAGCAUAAACAAACGUUGAAUAUCAACAAGAAUGUAAAACAACUCAAUACAAAUAGAAAACUUCACCCAAAAUUAAGUCAUUAACACACAUAAUGAAUUUGACUCUACCAAUAGCAGAGAUAAACCAAUCUCAUUAGCAAGUCAUAUACUAAAGCAGAAAGCGUCAACCGUGAGAUCAUAAUAAUUGGUAUCAAAGGAUGAGUUAUAAUUACAUUAUUAAUGGUUUUAUACAUAUACAUGUAUAUGUAUGUAUGUAUGUUAUAAACUUUGAUAAUAGAAGAGAAGUUUUAUUAAUUAAAAUAAGAGUGCAUCUGAUUAUAGGGAAAUAAUAAGCCAUAUCUAUAUGGCAAAGACAAACAACAACAAUAAUAAAAUAUAACAUCCUCUUUUAUUUUUUAUUUUUUUAAGAAAAAUUCAUAUCUCGUAGAGCAUAUUAUUAUUCUUUCUUUUUCCUUUUUUUUUCUUUUUAAGUUAGCAUAAUGGUGUAACCCAAUUUUCAUUGUACCUUUGUGAAAAAAGUUUGAACUUCGUACCUGCUGGCACCUAAAUUAACGAGAUCCAUCAUUUUAAAAUGAGCAAUGCUAAAGAGAUGAGAAAAAUGAGAGAAAGACGAGAGAAAAUGAAAAAAUUUUACUCUCUCUCUCUACCCAGCCCACUUUCUCUCUCUUCAUUUUCAAUACACUUUCUCUGGUCUUUUUCUUUCUUUAGCAUUUUUCUUUUAAAAUUAAUCUUAGUUGAUGGGCCCCAGCAUUUUAUUAUUUUAUUAAUAAUAAAAACCAAACUGUGGCACUGUGCUCGUACAAUCAUCAUUCAUCAAUGAGAUGGCAAAUAAAGGACCGGGCCGAUUCACUUCAAUGAGCGGGCCACAAAAUUUUGGUGAGAAAUUAAAUUCAUUGGGCCGAGCCUUGGGCUGAUGUGAAGACUGUGCUGUCCAUCGGAUUUAAAUGGCGUUCCAAUUUUCAAAGACGUCAAAGAAGAAAGAAGUCAACAACAAAGCAAAAUUGGACUUUUAUUAUGUAAUCAAUUGUCAAUUUAUCAGACGGAGGACUUGCAAAUAAAUACAAAAUGAUUAAAAAACUCUUCCAGAUUGCAACCUCUCUGACAAAUUUGGACCCGUCUUCUUUUCUAGAAGACAUUUCUUCCACGGAAAUUCUACCCCGUUUACUCUUGACGUGUCCAAGCAUACACCAAUCUUUGAAAGUUUCAACCUGAAGUGUAAACGCUUGGAACUAGUGUGCUUGAGCUUAACUUAAUCUGAAAGUUAAUAAUUUAAUAAACACAUCCCUUUAUUUGAGAGUUGAUGUUACAAUUUAUCAACUUCAAAAAAUAAAAAUAAAAAUUUGUGAUACUCCGCUAUGAAAUCCAUCAACUACUCCUCCAUUUACUGCGGAUUCAUUUAUAGAAACUAUUCCUUCGUUUACCUUGGAUUCAUUUUUAGCUACGGAUUAAAUAUUCCCCAGCAAUUGCAAAUUCAAAGUCACUGGUUAGCCCCACCAAUAGAAUUGAAUAUUCAUUCUCUCAUACUUCUCCAGGACACGAAAUAAAUAAUGGUCACAUGCGGCUCUAUCGCAGACGAGGCAACAUGAUGGAACUUUCAUGCAGCUUAUGGAAUUUACAGUAUUUAACUAAAACCAAUAAUUGAUCCAAAAGCAACCUUAUUGUUUUUCAAUAACUUGCCUUGUACGCCAUAACUUGGAACAUUCUCCAUAUAUAAAGGUUCCUGAUUAGUUCAUGGCCAUUUCUCGCUUUCUGAAAAUGAAAUCUUGUAUUACAAGAAGUAAAUUCCAAGCCAAAGAAGCUGCUAAAGAAGAAGAUGGUGUAUUGGCAACUAAUUAUAAUGUGUCCAUGGAAGAUCUUCCUUUGCCAAUUCUUGUUGAUAUUUUCUCCAGGCUCCCAAUCAAGACCAUUCUUCAAAUCAAGUGUGUUUGUAAAUCCUGGCACAGCUUAUGCUCGGAUCCUUAUUUCGCCAAAAUACAUCUUGCAAGAGCACCAUUUUCAAUAAUGAUUCUCGAGAAGUUCUGUAAGAGGAUCUACACAAAUUCCCUAGUGCCCUUGUUUACAUUGAACCAAGGUGACAAGGAGAGGCUGUCUUUGCUAUCUUCAUGCAAUGGCUUGAUUUGCUUGCAUGAGUUUUCUUACAAGCAAGAUGUCAUUUCUGUGUGGAAUCCAAUUCUUGGCGAUCACUUGGUCCUUCCACAACCUAAAAGGAAAAGUGUUGCUACAAGAAUACGUGGCUUCGGCUACAAUCAGAGUACUAAUCAAUACAAGGUGAUUCAAAUUCUCAGUUACAAAGAUCAAGCAGCGAUUUCCUCCAGUAAGCUUCAGGUUGAAGUACAUACAAUUGGUACGAAUACGUGGAGAAACAUUGGAGACCUUCCGUAUGUACUUAAUCAACCAUAUUAUGGAGUUUUUCUGAACGGUGCUCUUCAUUGGUACGCUCAUUCACAUGAUAAGAGAACGGCGUUUAUGUGUUCUUUUGACCUUGGAGAUGAGCAAUUUCGACAAUUUCCAGGUCCCCCAACUCGAGAAUAUGACAAAUGUAGGCCCAUUAACAGCAUUUCUGUGGGAGUUUCAGGAGGGUUUCUGUAUUUAUGUGAUGGUUUCUUGGAACCUAAUCUUGAUAUUUGGAUAAUGAAGAAGUAUGGGGUGAAGGAAUCUUGGACUAAGGAGUUUGUUAUAGUCAACUCAGUAGUCUCCAAGUUGCAAAGGUUAUAUGGAUCGUUGCAAAUUCUGAAUUACAGAGAGAAUAUGAACAAGGAAGCAACCGAAGGAACUGAACUGCAAAUGUUAUUUGGUUCAGAAGCUCUGCUUGCUUACAAUGUAAGAAGCAAAAGCAUCAGAAGACCAAAAGUUUUCGGCGUUCAGACAAACUACCAAGCGAUUCCUUACAUUCCUAGUCUUGUUUCAAUCAAAAAAGCUGCAAUGAACGAAAGCUCACAGAUGCUCUGAUCCUAAUCAAGGUUUUCUACUUACAAAUGUCAUUACAGGUUUAUUGUUUUUAGAACAUUAUUAAUUAAUUUAUUUAUUUAUUUGUAAGGAAUUAGCAUUCCGAAAGAAUAUUUGAACGAUGGAUCCAUAAAACCGAAAAUUUCAUCAUGCUCUCCCUCUCUUUUCACAUCAAUUUGUAUCAUCAAAAUCCCACUUUGCUUGUUUAAUCAUCGGCGUUUUUAAUUUAAGACUUGUUGCCGCAAAUCUCUGCCAAGUUGAUAUCUUAUUUUAUGGGAAACAGAGUAGGAGAAGCAGCGGCCGGCUCAUUAAUUAGCUCACAAAAUACGGACCGAUAAGCACAACGGAGCCUCUUCCUGGGAGAUUAUCCCUGACAUUCAAUCAAGGCUGCCCAUAACAUCUAUACUACAAUCAAAUAAUCAAUCUUGUUUGCUAAGCCUGGCUCUGCUUAGAACAAGACCCUCUUCUUGUUUCCACGCAUUUCUCACGUCUUUCAGGAGUUUGAUAUGAUUGUGUGAUUCACUAACAAUAAACUAUCUACAUAUAUAAUCCAUUCUCCGGGGACUACAUAGAACUGCCCAGAUCAGUACAAUUCCAGAAUCAAGAUGUGAUGUUUGGUUUUGGAUUCAAAGGAGUACCAGGUUUUCAAGGUUGUCUAUUACAGGAUACCAAGUAGAAUCCAUCGCAUUUUUUAUGACAUGAUUCCUGUAAGAUCAGAUGUUCAUGUUUCCACAGCCGGCAGCCCUGCCCGGAGAAGUUUAUGGCGAACACCUUCCGAUAUUUUUCCAGGAGCCAUCACAGGUUUUUGGUUAAUUGGAGGAAUAAAUUGGUUUACUCAGCCAGAAAAAUAGUCCAAGCCGGUGAAUUUAGUGGACUGCCUUUCUGCUGCAAUCCCUUGCAAAUAUGGGAAAUUAGAGAUUUUGGGUUAUGAAGAAUUAUGGUGAUAUGAAACUCAGAAAUGGAAGUAAUGCUUGAAAUAGAUCAAUUUGAGUGUGGUACACCUGAUUUAACAAACUUUUAGUUAACGUUCGGCAGGGAAAAAUGGAUCAAUACUGUCAAAAUUUGUCCUUGUUAAUUGGUACAUACCAAACAGAAAAGCGAAAAUACCAUUUUCCAUAGGAAUUAUCGAAGGAAUCAAUCCGAGAAAACAAGCUUCAUCGUGAGUUCAAAUGUUUUCAUAAAACUAUGAUGUGAUCAUAGUUCCAUUUUAAUUGCAUCUUGAUUCCUAAUACUCAUCCAGUAUCAGCUCAAAAAACUUCCAUAGACCUAUAAGCACAAUGGAGCAUCUUCCGGCGGAGAUUUCCUUGACAUAUUAUCAAGGCUGCCAGUAACAUCUAUACUGCAAUUCAUGCUUGUAUGCAAAGCCUAGAACAAGUUAACACACAACACUCUUCUUGUUACAAUGCAAUUUUCGCGCAUGGGCGAAAAUGACCCAUGUCUCAUCUUACACUGUGACUAUACAGUUCGAAACCAGCUUUAUUCUUUGGAGCUCCCAUCUUACAAUGAAGACAAUCAAAGGUAUAUAAAAUCAGAUUUUCUACGUUGCCAGAGUUUUCUAUAGUCGGAUCAUGUAAAGGCCAAAACAACAAAAAGUUUACACUACAUGAAUAUAAUCCCUCACCUGGACUACGUAGAGCUUCCCAAAUCCAUAGAUUUCAAUUAUCAAUAUGUGGUGUUUGGAUUUGGUUUUGAUACAAUAUCAAUUAAGUACAAGGUUGUCAAGGUUCUUUAUUAGAGGGAUCCGCGUAGACAUCACCACUAUCUUAGCAGAAUCAUUCCACCAACACCUGAGGUUCAGGUCUUCACCUUGGGCAGCCCAGCGUGGGGAAGGCUUGGACCUUACCAUUUUCUUCAGAGCCCAUCACCGGUUUUGGUCAGCGGAAUGCUUCAUUGGUGUACUUGGCCCCAAAAAUAUGGUCCAUGUCGAUUGCUCAUCUCCCUUGACCUAGCAGAUGAGCGAUUUCGAGUUGUCCCAAAACCUGAUUGUGGUGGCUUAGAGAGGUGUUAUUUUGACUUGGUGAAUUUAGGGGUUACUUGUCUGCUGUUGCACAUUGCAAAUUUAGAAUAUUUGAGAUCUGGGCUAUGAAGGAUUAUGAUGCGAAGGAGUCUUGGAUCAAGCAAUUUAGCAUUGGAAUUCACGUGCCAAGCGGAUUGGAACAAGAUUUGAGUCAAUCCUUCAGGGAUUCAAAGUUGUACAGGAAUAUCUCAUUUGUUUCAUGUCUCUUACCUUCUUAAAAAUGGAGAUAUCUUGCUGGGGUAUAAAUGCACCAAGAGAUGGAAUAUCUAAGGAUCUAUUGCUCCCCGGAAUGCCUAUUUGGUUUGAAGCUAGUGUUCACGAGGGAGCCUGAGUUGGAUUGACAGUUUUAAUUGAUAAUGGCAUAUAAAAUGUAAGCCAAUGCUUCUUUCCUUAGUGAGUUUGCUCUUUAUUAAAUAAAAAUGUUUGGUUCAAUGUUGAUACCUAGUUCCCGUUUUUCAGCAUUCAUUUCUUACUUUCAGAGUUUGAAAUUGACGAUUUACUAGAUAAUGUUUAAGCAGCUACAGAAGCAUCAAUUAAUUUGAUCAAAAUCUUUAUGGACUCUCAAUAUCACAAAGAAAUAAAUUUAGAAUUCUCUCAAAAUUAUAACAGAUUAACAAAUUUCUUGUGGCCCCGCUGCCGUAUCAACAGCUUAAGAACACAUUACCACAGUCGGGGAUUUUUUUUUAAGUGUUUGGCCAGCUGCGUUACCAGCAAUGCUCUUUUAUGAUCGAGAUAUCUUUUUGUCAUCUUCAGCAUAGAUGACAAAAAGAUAAGGAGAUUGUCCCUGGUUUAACAAGCUCUCUAUUAGACAUUCGACGUACAGCUGUUUUUUGAAUAAAUUAUACCUCUUGUAUCAAUCAUUUACAAAAGAGUCCAAUUUAAUUUGGUCCGUAUCAAACAUCAACCUUCAUGAUAAUUAUCAAAUGUAUUAAUCCAGAAAAACGAUCCUCGUCGUAGACUCCGUCUCCGUUUUAUAUUAAUUUGAUGUUAUCAUUGUUCCACUUCGUUUACUUUCCCCUUCAUUUUCAUUUUAAGACCUGUCCUCCUGAUUCUCUGGCCGGCAGGACUCAUGUAUUGCCAGAGACAUAGCAAGUGAGGAAACAACAAAUCUUAAGAAGCACUCAUAAACCAAGCAAGCACAAUGGAAUAUCUCCCGCAGGAGAUUGUCCUUGACAUAUUAUCAAGGCUGCCCGUAACGUCACUACUGCACUUCAAGCUUGUAUGCAAAGCCUGGCUCAACACUGCACAAAACCCUCUGCUUCCUAGUUUGCAAUUUUCCCGCAUGGCCAAGAAUGAUCCAUGUCUUAUCUUGCACUGUGACUACCCCAUCCGAAACCAGCUCUACUCCUUUGAGCUCUCAUCUCGUGAUGAAGAUAACCAAACGGUUCACCAAAUCCGGGUACCUGCCUUGCCUGAAUUCGAUGUGGUAGGAUCAUGCAAGGGCUUGCUGUGCUUAUGCGAUUCAUCAACAAAAAAUCGACUGUACGUGUAUAAUCCUUUUACUAGGAACUAUGUAGAGCUGCCCAAAUCAACAGAGUUCCAGAAUCAAGGUGUGGUGUUUGGAUUUGGUUUCCAUCCAACAACUAACAAGUACAAGGUUGUCAAGAUUGAUUACUGUAGGAAAACACACGGAAACCACCGCUAUUACCGCGGUUAUGGAAAAUCAGAGGUUCAGAUUCUCACUUUAGGCAGCCAAGAAUGGAGAAGUCUUGGGCAAGUAAAUUACCACAUGUUGGAGGCGCCAUCACAAGUUUUGGUCAAUGGAAGACUUCAUUGGUGUACCUGGCCACGAUACCGUGGUCCAAGUCGCUUGCUAAUCUCCUUUGACAUUGCAGAUGAACAAUUCCGGGUAGUCGAGAAACCUGAUGAGCUACACAGGAUCCACUAUGACUUGGUGAAUUUAGGUGGUUGCCUUUCUGCCGCCGUCCCUUGCAGUUCUGGGAAAGAGAUUUGGGUUAUGAAAGAGUAUGAUGUGAAGGAGUCUUGGAUCAAGGAAUACAACAUUGGAAUUCAUGUGCCAAGAGGAUUGGAACAAGAUUUGAUUCCAUCUUUCAGGGACUCAAAGUUCUUUAGGAACAGAAGCUUCGUUCGAGUCUUGUGCCUUCUGAAAAAUGGAGAAAUCUUGUUGGAGUAUAAAUGUAGAGCUUUGGUUUCUUACAACCCAAGAAAUGAAAUGUUUAAGGAUCUUUUGCUACAUGGGAUGCCAAACUUGUUCGAAGCUAGUGUUCAUGAGGGCAGCCUCAGUUGGAUCGACUCUUUCAGUGAUAAUGAUUUAUAAGCAUAUAAUCUAAGCUAAUGCUUAUAUUCUCAGUGAGUUUGCUCUUUAUGGAUUAAUAAAAAAGAGUAUGAUUCUAACGGUUUAUGGAGUUUUUGUGACGUGUCGUGUAGAUUUUCAGAACAUUGAAUUAUUUAAAUAAAUUUGGUUAAAUUUUUUUUUAUGAAACAAGAAAGCUGAUUUGAUCAAGGAAACACUAUUAAAUUUGCAAUUUAGGAACUCAAGUUGUGUUUGAUAAAUUGUAUUAUAUUAUUUUAAAUUGUAUUAAUACUGUCUGUUACAACGUUUCUUAUCAUUAUUGAUAAUUUCCAUGUUAAUAUCUUUCUUAUUUGUUGUUGUUAAAUUAAUAUUUAAAUCCAACACCUGGUUGAAGAUGCUCCCUUAAUAGACGUUUGGUACCUAUAAUUUGAAAUAAAUUAAGGGAAAAGGAAAAAAGGGAAAGUGACAUAUUUGUCACUCCCGUUAACCUUGGAGCAGUGAUAAGGUCGGUCGCCCAAACGGGCAACUGACACACGAGCCAUUUGUAUGUUGGACAUGUGUCCAUUUCUCUUUCUUUCUUUAAAUCAUAUAAAGUAACUUUUAUCUCGUUCUCAAUAAAAUAUUUAGUUAAAUUGUUUACCAACCUUUUUCAAUGAAAUUGCAUUCAAAAUGCCACGUUACUUCUUUAUUUUGUUAUUUAAUUGCCCUUAAUUUUUCCAAAAAUACCAAAUACUGGAUUCCACCUGGUUCCCACCUUCAAAAGCACAAAAGUUGCAGGGCAUUUUUAGAUGAAAAUUUUAUUUUGAAAUUAUCAUCUCAACAGCCACCAACAAGGAAUUAAUUGUUUGGAGAAGUUACAAGUCUUUUUAGUAAAUCCCUUUUACAUUUCCUUUAUAAAAUAUCUUUUUAUAAUGUAAUUUAAAUUACAUUAGGUUUUUUUUAUUAUUAGAAAAAUUAUUAUUCAUUCACUUUAAGUUUAUCAUGUUAUAAAAAAAUAUUAUAAAAAUUUGAAUUUAUUUAAUUUCCCAUCCUGAUCUACCAAAAGGACAUAAUUACUUUUAUUCAAAUGACAAAAUAAAAUUAAAUACAUAUUGUGGUAGUAAUUAUUUUAUGAGAGUAAUUAUAUCUUUUUUUGUGGAUGGUUUUAUAAAUUGUAAAUUUAUAGUGAAAAAUAAAACAGAUUCAAAAUUUUGCAGUAUUUUUUUAAUAAUGGGACAAAUUUAAGAUAGAUAACUGAUAAUUCCCUAUAAUUAUUUAAAAUAAGAAAUGCUGCUGUCAUUUUUUUCUAUACAAAUUUGGUGUCUUUUGUUUUUGUUAAUUAAUAUUGAUCAUUUAAUGUAGCAAAAAUUUUUAUAUUUAUUUUCUAUUUAUAUUAUAAACAUUGAGUUUUUUUUACAUACAAUGAAGUUAGUAAACUGAAAUUGUUUCUGUUGACUUGUUGAAGUGCAGGUGUUCAUUUGCUAUAUAUGAUUUUUCAAAAUCUUUUAUUUAGAGAGAGAGAAGCUUCUCUUUAAUGGGUAAUUAAGUUACAAAAAAAAAAAUGAAGCCGGUGCCAUUUUGAAUGUAAUUUCACUGAAACUAGUGGGUAAAUAAUAUAACUAAAUAUUUUAUUGACAACGAGGCAAAAGCUGUUUAAUGUGAUUUAAAGAAAAAAAAAGAGCAGUGGACACAUGUCCAACUUACACAGAGUUUACCAAUAGGCCUUUGGUCCAAUGGGAGAAGCCUUGCACUUACAAUGUUGAGUGCAAGGGUUCGAGCCUCCAUAAGAGCAUUAUGGAGGUUAGUUUCAGUUCUUCCUCAAUUAUCAAUUAAUUGAGUGGAGACAGUCUCUCCCUUACGAAAUGUGAGUAGAGCAGGCACCCCUCGAAUAUUAGAGAGGGUUUAAAAUAUCUGGGCAUAUACUUCAGUGUGUCAAUGUAUGAUGGUGGUCCCAGUUAUAUAGUAUGAUUGUAAAUAUUAAUUGUAAUGUCUGAUGUAAUGUCAGUAAUAUCUGUAUAUAACAGACUUAAAAAAAAAAAAAAAAAAAAAAAAAACUUAAAAAAAAAAAAAAAAAAAAAAAAAAAAAAAAAAAAAAAAAAAAAAAAAAAAAAAAAAAAAAAAAAAAAAAAAAAAAAAAAAAAAAAAAAAAAAAAAAAAAAAAAAAAAAAAAAAAAAAAAAAAAAAAAAAAAAAAAAAAAAAAAAAAAAAAAAAAAAAAAAAAAAAAAAAAAAAAAAAAAAAAAAAAAAAAAAAAAAAAAAAAAAAAAAAAAAAAAAAAAAAAAAAAAAAAAAAAAAAAAAAAAAAAAAAAAAAAAAAAAAAAAAAAAAAAAAAAAAAAAAAAAAAAAAAAAAAAAAAAAAAAAAAAAAAAAAAAAAAAAAAAACUUACACAGAGUUUGGGUGACUGACCGGUCUCAACCUUUUGCAGCAAAUAGUCAAACGUUCGUUCUUAUCAAAGACCAUCUACAUGAGCAUCAGCAUAUGGAUCGAUCCAGAAAAGCAAUCUUCCUUGCUUGUGCCGUCACCUUUUAUAUUAAUUUCCCCCAAUCAAUCAUACUCCCACUUUGUUUUCUUAUAUCUUCAUAAUUCAAUGAUUACUGAGAUCUCAUGUAUUUUCAAAAACACGGCAUUAUAGCAACCAAUAAGAGCAAAAACAUUCAUAAACCAACAAGCAUAAUGAAUUAUCUUCCACAAGAGAUUGUCCUAGACAUACUAUCAAGGCUCCCCGUGAUACCAAUACUGCAAUUCAAGCUAGUAUGCAAAGCCUGGCUCCACACAGCACAAAACCCUCUGCUUGCUAGUAUGCAUUUUGCCAACACCGGCAAAGAUGACCCAUGCCUCAUUUUAAAUUGUGAAAAUCCCAGCCGACAACAGCUUUAUUCUUCGGAGCUAUCAUCUCGCGAGGAAGAAAAUCAGAAGGUGAACAAAAUUCGUGUUCCCACUUUGACAAAAUUUUUAUUUUCGGUGUAUUAAAUUAUUUGGUAUUCGAAAAUUAUAUUGGGCCCCGACUAAUUCAAUUUCGAGCUGGUAGGACCAUUAGGGUGGUAAAAUUCUCCCAACAAAUAUUUAAUAUAGUUACAUUCCCAAGUCUCGAACUGAUAAUCUUAGUAAAGAUAAAACAACCACAUAUCAGCUAAUUUACAUGCCUGUUGGUUCACUUUGCCUGAAUUUGAUGCGCUAGGAACAUGCAAGGGCUUUCUGUGUUUAUGUGAUUCAUCUAUGAAAAAUGAACUGUGUGUAUAUGUUGGAGAAAAAUCGAUUUUUAAAAUUUUUAUAAAAACUUUUAGGACCGAUCUCAUACAAUACAUAGGAAUUCAUAAUCUAGAAAAUCAUAUAUUGACAAUCUGAUUUGGCUUUUUCGCUGAAUUAAUCUAGGCUCUCAAAUCACGAUUUGUCACCACCACUCUUGUUAUAUCGCGAUCAAUCACCACCAAUCUUGUUAGAUCACGAUAUGUCACCAAUGAUCUUCCAAGUUUUGACGCAAGUUUAAUCUGCACUUGACGUGUGGGCGCCUUUAUCACCACUAAAAGCAACUAGUAAGAGAAAAUAUUCCUCUCAAAAUUAGAGAGAGAAAAUCUAUUUCUUUGAUCUGUAUAAUGUGGCUGCUACUUCUUUUUGGGAGAAAACAAACCUUUUUUUUUUAUCUGAACCACGAGGUGGUCCUGAGUGGGCCCCAAUUAUGGGAGGGACCUUUAAACUCGUACCAAAACCUAGACUAAUCCCCGCUCGCAUCAGGUCGGCCCGUAAGGGGAGAAAACUAGCCUUUUAUAUAUUUAUUUAGUGGAAACCAUAGGCUCCAUAUUUAUUAAUUUUUAAUGCUAUUAAAUCACAUUUGAUUUAAAUUUAAAAGUUAUAAAACCAAAAGUAACGUUAUUUCUUUUUGUUAUAGAGGCCCACCUUGUAAAAUAAUAUAAGACCCCUACACACAAGUAUAUUUUAUGGAGCCUCCCACUAAAUAAUAUAUUUAGGUUUUUAACCCAAAUAGCUAGUUAUCUUACUUAUUAAUCCAGUAGCAGCGCAAUCAAUUAAAUGAGGUAACUCGUAGAUCAUAUGGGUACAUACAAUAGUGACUACAAUAAUUAGGCCUAUAAUUAAACUAGUUCAAUUAUUUAAUUCCAAAUCUACUCCACUAAAAGAUUGGAAUUGACCUCCAUAAUUGUAUGCUAUCUAGGAUAGUGUUUUCGAAUAAUAAUUCGACCCAUGUCACAUUUAUUUCUUUACUGUAUAAUCAUUUGUAUCACAUCGUUAAUUAAAUUGAUAUCUCAAUUGUCCAAUCAAUUUAAUUACAUUUUGUUUCUUGAUACUUAUUGGUUUUCUCUAAUGAUCAUUUUCAACAUACUAAAUAUGUUGAGUUUAGUAUGUUGACACACUCUGACCAGAGAAUUCUAUGAUCAAGUACCAAAAACUCAUCAAGAGAUGUGUUGUACAAAUUCUAUAGUAUUAAUCUAUAAGUCUAAUACUCAUAAUUGCUUCUACCAAAAUACCGAGUAAUCUUGACUAAAAGUGUGUGUCGUGCCCAUUAGUUACUCAAAUGGAAUAACAAUUACAAUCAUGAAAUCAUAACUAACUCAAUAUUAAGAUUACAGUAAAAUCAAUGCCUAUGAGAUUUAAUAAAUCUGAUAAUUAUUACAAAGUUAAUUAAAUCUCAUAUGUGAUCAUGUUUAAUAUAGUCGUACUACAUCAACAUACAUGAUUAAGACAAAUCAUUCAAUGAAUUUAUUACAGUCUAUACCUUGAUAAAGUGCCCAACUUUAUUUAUCAAUUGCGAACUUAAUUUAUUUAAUUAUAAGAUAACUUUUAUUUAUAUUUUCUGUGAAUCGACAUAGUGAUCACAUAAAUACAUAUAAUAUGACUAAAUUGACUUUACUUAAAAUAUUAAUGCAAUUAAGAUACUUGAAUAAAAUACCUCAUUUAUUUUAUUAAUCAGAAAAAUUGUUUAUUACUAUUAACUAAACAUAUAUACUUUUAAAGAGUAUAUUUUCCCAACAAUAUACAAUCCAUUUACUAUGGACUACUUAAAGCUGCCCAAACCCCAGAUUUAGAUUUCAAUAUUCAACAUGUGGUGUUCGGAUUUGGUCUCCAUCCAACAUCAAACGAGUACAAGGUUGUCAAGAUCGCCUAUUAUAAAAUACCCGAGGAGAAAUGAAAUUGCCACUUAUGGUUAUUGGAAAUCAGAGUUUCAAUUUCUCACAAUAAGUAGCCAAGCCUGGAGAAGUUUAGGGAGAGAACAUUACUAUUUGAUCCAGGGGCCAUCACAAGUUUUAGUCAACGGAAGACUUCAUUGCUUUCAUUGGUGUACUUGGCUACGUGGUUCAUGCCGCUUGCUUGUCUCCCCUUGACAUCGAAGAUGAACAACUCCGGGCGGUCCCGAGACUUGAAGGGAAAGGAUUAUUCAGGUGCAAUUUUGAUUUGGUGAAUCUAAGGGGUUGCUUUGAUGUAGGUGUCCCUUGCAAUAAUGGGACAUACAAUAUUUGGGUUACGAAAGAUUAUAAGGUGAAGGAGUCUUGGAUCAAGGAAUACAGCAUUGAAAUUCAAGUACCACAAUGACUCAAAAGAGAUGUGAUUGGAUCUUUCAGGGACUCAAAAGUUGUGGAAUAGCACAUUGCUUCGAGUCAUGUGCCUUCUGGAGAUACUGUUGCAGUACGGAUACAAGUCUCCGGUGUCUUAUAACCCAAGAAAUGGAACAUUUAAGGAUCUUUUGUUCCUUCGAAUACCUAAUCGGUUUGAAGAGUAUGUUCACCAAGGAACCCUUAGUCGGAUUAAAAAUCUCACCGAUACCUAAUGCUUCUUUUCUCAACUUUUAUUCUUUUUUUUUAGGGAAAUUUAUAACCGUCCACCUGUUUGUUUUGCCUUUUUUAAAAAUACACAAACACUUUUUUUUUCCAGCGCGCCACCUGAAGUUUGCUUUUUGUUGCAUUCGUCCACUUCCGUCUAAUUUCCGCUAGCGAAUUUAACGGAAUGACCUUUUUACCCCUCAAAAUUACAAUUUAACCCAAAAUAAAUAGAAAUUGGAAAUAAAUUGGAUGAAUUUAAAUUUUUUUAAAGGUGGAUGCUAGAAAUUGGAGGAAAAUAAUGUUUGUUACUAAAUUUAGAAAAUUUGUAUUUAUUUUUUUGGACGAAAAUAGUGUUUGUUGCUUGCUAGAUUUAGAAAAUUUGUAUUUAUUUUUUCUCUUUCAAAAAAAUAAAUACAAAUUUUCUAAAUUUAGUAACAAACAAAAAAAAAAAAGUGUUUGUGUAUUUUUGAAAAAGACAAAAUAAAUAAGUGGACAAGUGUAAAUUUUCAUUUUUUUUAAUAUUAUAAAGAAUCAAAUAGGCUGAGAACUAGCUGUUCAGCUUCAAUUUAUCGGCCCUCAUGACCUUCAUUUACCUUAAAUAUUUGCGACCAUUCUUGUAUGUGAUUUUGAUUUUCCUUGAAUUGCUGACAUUUGUAGAAUGAUUGAUAAAAAACAAAAAGAUGUCAUGUAUGAAAUUAGUGAAUAACUUAUACAUUUCUUUAUCAAACCAGUAAGACAUGACCAAAUUAACUCCACUAAGCCGGCAUUGGCCAAUGGCAAUUGCUCACUCCAAAAUUGAGGGCACUAGUUUGAAUCUUGUUAUUGGAUUUAGAUCCAGUUUUGAGUUUAUUUAUAUUCAACUUUUCAUAAUCUUUUACCAUAUGUGUUUAUAUUAAAAUUACAAUUAAUAAUUUAUUGUUCAUAAUUAAGAAUAUUAAUAAUUAUAAUAAAUUUACAAAUAUAAUAAAAUAAAUAUUAUUCAUUAAAUAUAUUUUUUAUUAGUUUUGUAAUUAAAAACUAUAAUUCUUUAAAUAAGGAUAAAAUUGUAAUUUGAAACUAUUUACUCCCAAUCCAAGACAAAGUAAACACAUAAAUUGGAUUCUGAUCUCUACUCCAUACUUCCAUUCCAGUGUAAGUAAACAACCUACUCCCACUCCCACUCCACACUCCCACCCCAGAAUUCCCAAUCCAAUCCAAAAAGUAAACGCUACCUUAAGGGAUUCAACAAAAGUUCUCUAUCGAGAUUAAUAUUUUCUCGAAUAUUAGUGAGAUAAGAUAAGUGUGAGAAUAUUUCUUAGCAUAUAAAUGUAUGAUUUCAAACUAUAUUAGUAUUAUAAUAAACGUAACCAUAACAAUUAAAAAAAAGUGACAAAAUUAACAAAAAUUGAAAUUAUUUAGGAAAUCUAUGCUGUUUAGUUUGGAAUUUGAACAAAAUAUCUAAAAGUUAAUUUUUCUUAAUGUGGAUUAAGUUCUCAUUAUUUUGUGCUUGACUUAAUUUGAAACCCAAAGAACAAAAUUUUCACAAAAUUUUCAAGUUAGAUUUGUCAAAUCAGUCGUUUACUAUUUGGCUAAAAGAGUUUCCUCUGGAAGUCUCUAAUUUAUUAUAUUGAAUUGUCAAUUUAUUAGGACAGAAAUAAUUUUUUUUUAAAAAAUCGAAUAAUACAAAUUAAACUGAUUUAUUAUUUCAAUUUACCAAAACGUAUUUAACAAUUUGCUUACAAUUAUGUCAAUUUUUUUUAAUUCGGAAGAGCCGCUACUGCGAGUUAUCUGCAAGCACGUGGACUAUUCGCACCAUUGAAAAUUUAGACUAGCGACUCACCCACUCUAAAAAAAUCAUUUAAAAAACGUGCAUCUGCUAGUUAGAUCGUGAUUAUAUACCGGCAGGAGAUGACAUCAUGAUGAUGGUUUUUUUUUUUUAAUCACAACAGCAAAAUACAUUAUUACUGCCGCACUUAAACAAUAAUCUCUCAUUAUAAUAAUCUAAUUCAUGUAAUAAAUACGUAAUCGUCGAUUAAAUCAUCGUGUGACAGCAAAAUGAUAAGAUAAAUCAUUAAUGAAUACGUGAUUAUUUAUUAUAAAUAUGUUAUAUUAUUAAGAUACAAAUUUAACGUUUCAACUUUAUUUAUGCAUAACAUCAUUUGAAAAUACACGGUAUUUCUUCCGUGCAAAUGCUCUUUUGUGUUAAAAAAUACAAAUAAGACACGAACAUUUAUCGUAUAUUUAUUAAUUUGUAAUUGGAAUGAGUUGGAAUCUUAAUGGGAAAUGAGAAUCAGAAUAAAUUGUUUAUCUCAAAUGUAAGAAUUAGAAUUAGUUUACUGUUGAUGUGUUUAUUUUGUUUUGAAAUUGAAAUGAAUUGUUAUAAGUUACUAAAUGAUCUUAGUUGAUUAUUGCAAUAUUUAUUAUAAUAAUAGUAAUUAUUAUUAUUAUUCAAAAUAAUUAAUAAUAAUUAUUAUUCUUAUUAUUAACAACAAUUAAAAAAUAAGAAUAAUAAGAAUAAUAAUGACAUAGUAGUAUUUUAAUUGAGGGCAAAAAUGAAAUUAUGGAAUUUAGAUAGGAUAAAAUGAGUAGUUUAAGAAAUGAGAAUUUGAUUCAUACGGGGAUGGAAAUUAAGUUCUCAUUUCUCAAUUCCAAAAAUAUAUAAGUCCCACAUAUUUUAUUCUCAUUCAUAUUACUAUUUUAACAAGUAACCAUCUUCGGUUAUUCUCAUUCUAGAUUCUGAUUCUUUUAUCUAGAAAGCAAGCGAACCAUUAGAAUGGAAUUACAUAAGCGUCGAGUUGGGUCAGUUCGGACUCUCAACCCACAAACAGUUUUAUUUUUAUUUAUAAUUUAAACUUAUAAAAUAGAUAUAUUUAUGAAACGCUGCUGAUAGUUUUAGUUUGUGAUACUUUACUCAGUGAUAUCCCUUCUUCUUUUUUUAAGACUUCGAACCCAAUAUCUUUAUUUUUCAAUCUUUUAGUUCCCAUUGGUUUAACUGUCAAUAAAUUUUUUCCCAUAUAUUUUGACAGUGUUAAAUUUUUACCUCUCUUCUUUUAUCACUUCCACGUAUUGGUAGUCAUUGACAUGAUUUAACACACCGGAGCUGUUACUGGGUUUUCCUGGUAGAUGACUGUAGGCCAGCAGCCGGCGGACGUGGAGCUAGCCUACAGUGAAAUUCCAUUUUUAACUAUCCGGAGCUUUUUUUGAAAAAACUGUUUGUGAUAUUUGAAAUUAAAGGAUUCUCAAAAAGAAAGAAAGAAAAAAAAAACAAAACAAAUCAUACGUUGCUCUCGGUGAGAUUUGUCUCGUACCCACCACUUAUUUUAAGCAAAAAAAAAAUAAAAAUAUUUUUAAUCUGGCCAACUUGCAAGGCGCUAGGUGAUGCAUCAAACGCAGAAAAUCAUCAGGAACUUUCGGGCUGAGUUUCAAUUUUCAAUUGGCAGGUAGCCAGAAGGAGGCAUCAGUCCCUCUGUCAUUUUGCUUAGUGUUUGGUUUCUUCUUCUCUUUGUAAGUAUCACCGGGCUACCAGACUUUUUUAUUUUGUUUAGCUUUUAGACUUUUUUAUAACGUCAUGGGCCCCCCUUUUGUACAGAAACUUUCAACCCCGUGAUUAUUAACGGAGUUUGGAAAAUGCUGCACUGGGUGCACUGUGGACGCAACUCAAAGAAAAGAAAAGAAAAGAAAAGGAGAGAAAAUAAUAAUAAUAAUAAUAACAAAGCUUCAACCUUUUGAAAAUUUUCAUUAUAUAUAUUUACAGCAUUAUUGAUCAAUCUUUUGUUGCUAAAAAAUACUUUCAAUGCUGCCUAGUCACUAUCAGUAGGGACAGCCAUCCAUUUAACAUGGAAUUGGAUUCAUUUCAUAAAAAUUUUGCGGUUUAUGCACUCACAUUAUGAACGGUGCUGAUUGUUAGGUCCAUCAAGAAAGAAACCAAAACUAAACAUCUUUUUUUUUUUCUUAUUUUCAAGAGAAUUAUUCAAAGGUGGAUUCUUCUUGUUCUUUUCGUCUCUCUCCUCUUUUUUUAUUUAUUAUUAUUAUAAUUUUAUUUUGAUCUCAUCAAAGUCUACAUGUUUAUCUUCAACCCCUUUUAAUUUUUCAUCACCUAACCCCUUUGCUUUUAACUCAAUUUAUUCAUUUAACGAGCUACCAAAGCUACCAGGCCCAAGCCAUGGAGUUGGAUGUUAAGCAAAAGGUGAACAAAAGAAGCAAGCUUGAAGAUGAUCAUCAACAAGCAACCGGGAUGGAAACUCUACCUCGAGAGAUCGUGCUCCAUAUAUUGCUGAGGCUCCCGAUCACAUCUUUGGUACAGUUCAAGUUUGUGUGCAGAGCUUGGAGAGCCUUGGCGCAAGACCCUCUUCUUGCUAAUCUGCAUAAUACUACAAGUACAAGCAAAGCUGAAAAGAAUCCGUGCCUCAUCCUUCACUGUGACUUUCCCAUCAGAAACCAGCUCUGCUUUAUUGAUUUUUCAGAUAACCAAGACAAGGUAAGGAAAUUUAACAUGCCUUUCCAAGCUAAGAUGCCCGAGUUUGAUGCUGUAGGUUCAUGUAACGGUUUGCUUUGCCUGUCUGAUUCAUUAUUUAAUGAUGCAAUCUGCAUAUAUAAUCCUUUUACUAGAGAUUAUAUUGAGCUGCCCAAAUCUAUGCAGUAUCCUGAUCAAGAAGUUGUAUUUGGAUUUGGAUUCCAUCCUGUUAGUAAAGAGUACAAGGUGAUUAAGAUAGUUUAUUAUAGGAAAUCUUGUAGUAAUAGUAGUUUCCAACGUACCCGUAGGGUCAUUUAUCCCAGAUCAGAUGUUCAAGUCUAUACUGUAGGAAGCCCUGCCUGGAGGAGUAAGGGGAAAUUAGCAUACCAGUUUGUCCGGAGGCCAUCGGAGGCAUUGGUGAAGGGGAGGCUUCAUUGGGUGACGAGACCUCGGAGAUAUAGUCCUGUUCGUGGAAUCGUGUCGUUUGACAUAGCAGAUGAGCAAUUCCGCGAGGUCCCUAAACCUGAUUGUGGUGGUCUGAAUAGGUGUAACUAUCAUCUGACAGUUCUAAGUGGUUGUCUUUCUGUAGCAGUUUAUGGCAAUUAUGGGAAACUGGAGAUUUGGGUUAUGAAAGAUUAUAAUGUGAAGGAAUCUUGGGCUAAGGAAUUAAACAUUGGAGCCUAUAUCCCUAAGGGACUAAAACAAAGUCUGGACAGACCUUUGAAGAUCUGGAAGAAUUCUUUGAAUGGAAGAGUUGUUCGAGUUGUAUGCAUUCUGGAGAAAGGUGAGAUCUUGUUGGAGUACAAGAGCAGAGUUCUGGUUUCUUAUGAUCCGAAGUGCAGAACAUUUAACGAGUUUGUAUUUAAGGGGACACCAAAUUGGUUUCAAACGAUUGUACAUCAGGGAAGUUUCAAUUGGAUUGAUACACCACAUGAUUUGUAAACUGCAGAAGAAAGGUAUUCACAAGCGCUGCUUCUCUUCCUGUGAGUUUAUACCCUACUGAAAUAAAAUUAUGUUACAAAAUUUCUUUUGUAUUGUCUUAUAACAAGUUAUGACUUGCUAUGAAGCCUUAUUGUUAAUGUUACACACAUGCUGUUAGUGUUUGCAAAUUUUUUUUGAAGUAUCUGGCUAUGUAAAGAGACAAAUUAAAGAUUAGUGGAAAUGAAAUAAUGCCUUACUUCUGUGUAAAAUUUCUGUAUAAACUUACUGUCCUAGUGAAGCAAUUUGUAAUCUUCAUUUCAAAAGUAUACCUUGGCAUGAGAUCACAUCCUAAUUCUAUUAUGGACUUCUUCAGGUUACUGCACUCUGAACUAGUUUCUAAACGACUCACUGUGUCCUCAUAAAUUGCUUUUUGAAGAUGAAAUGAGUUGGUCACUAACUCGAUUGAUGGAUUUCUUGAUCAGUAUUGUUUUUUGAAGAUCUCUACCAGUCGCCAAUGAUUCAUUGCCUAUGUCUAGCUGAAAUUAUGAAGUCAUGUACUACAAUUUCUAAUUCUAUUUCUAUUACUUGCUUCUAGGUGCCACUGCUGAUACCUUUUCAUCCUGAAGCUACAGGGACCUAAGAUUAUCCGCCCCCAGUUCUAGAGGUCUCUCUUGGGCUGCAAAACUGCCACCGCAAGGACUAAUAUUAUAUAAAGGCUUUGGCUAAGUUACGUUAAACGUAACUUACGCCAGAUACAGCAACAGUGCUAGUGAUGGGACUUGUCACUGUUGCUGUGCCUGGCGUAAGUUACGUUUAACGUAACUUAGCCAAAGCCUUUAUAUAAUAUUAGUCCUUGCGGUGGCAGUUUUGCAGCCCAAGAGAGACCUCUAGAACUGGGGGCGGAUAAUCUUAGGUCCCUGUAGCUUCAGGAUGAAAAGGUAUCAGCAGUGGCACCUAGAAGCAAGUAAUAGAAAUAGAAUUAGAAAUUGUAGUACAUGACUUCAUAAUUUCAGCUAGACAUAGGCAAUGAAUCAUUGGCGACUGGUAGAGAUCUUCAAAAAACAAUACUGAUCAAGAAAUCCAUCAAUCGAGUUAGUGACCAACUCAUUUCAUCUUCAAAAAGCAAUUUAUGAGGACACAGUGAGUCGUUUAGAAAAUAAAACUGAAGGCAAAGUCCAAAAGAGCCGCUCAUCAUGCUUUCCCACCAAACGAUUGUGGAAGUUUUCUUAAAAGUCAGCCACCAAAAGAGACUCUAUGCCUAGAGGCCGAUUUAUUUAAUCUUGUUCUCUUGAAAGAGUUGCAAACUGAACAAAAAAACCGUCAUUUUAAUAUUGAGCUUGCACUGUAUACGAUGAUUGCCUACUGCCACUAUGUUUCUUACUUCAAGAAAUAACGGCUCGUCAAGAACAGAUGCUUUCCCACUCUUUUAUCCCCAUUUUCCUGUUGCUAAUCUAACCCUAGUAAAGUUCUCAACUAGAGAGCUUCACACGUUGCAGAACUUUCAUCUUUAUUAAAUCGACUGAUAAAAAAGAAACAAUCGAACAUCUUUCAUUCAGCAUCUCAUCAUGACUUAUCCCAGUCCCCCUUUAUCUCUCUGCAAGCAUGAAUGUUUAACCUACCAUGCUUUUUUCCAAAGUCUAAAGACUAAAAUCUUGUGUGCAAUACCUUGCAUCUCGCUUAUGGGAUGGUAUGGUUGCGUGUGUGUGUGUAAACAAAGAGUGAAGAAUCAAAGCAAGACUUUUGAGUUUUGACUUAAAGUACUGUUUCGGUUUACAAGGCUUGUCACAAAGAAAGCAAAACACUUAAGCCAGAACACAGAUCAAGCAGGCAUCACUAUUUUCUUUUAUUUCAACGCUCAUACAAAUUUCUCCAUAGUUUUUUUGUGAGUAGACUUCAAGAGCUCUUGCUCUGCGUAUACUUAUUAUUUGGGGGUGAUUAAAUCACACAAACCGCCUACUCUUUUAAGGAUUCAAUUGUUCAUUGUGAAAGAACAAAGUUACAUGGUAUGAAUGAAGAUAUAUGAUUUUCUGGAGCACGGAAAUAGAGCAUAAUGCUCGUUAAAGAACACAACAAUACGUUGAAAAUUAACAAGCCAGGUAGCUUGGACGUGUAAGGUCAAAUUGCUUGUACAACAUACGGAUACAAAGUAUUCUUUUACUGAUUUAUGUAAAGAAUGUUGCUCAUUCAUAUAUUUGCUAAUAAAAAUAACAAAAGAGAUACUUAUGGUCACAAUGAGAACAUUGAAUAGAUGGCUUUAACUCUGGCCAGCAACACUUCUUAGGUGCUCUAACACAAGCUUUCUUCCGGUGAGACGCUCAACCAAUCCUUCCGAACAAAAUAUAGAUGAAUUAUUCACUCCCAAGCGACUCUCAAAUUUAUUGCAAAUGUUUAAAAACGGUGUGUGGAUGGAUGUGCGAAUGUAUGUACGUGUAAGUUGAGUGUAUUUGAAGGAACAUAGAGAGCCUAUUACCAUUAGUGUAGUCCCGACAAUCAUGUUGGCCGAUCCUCAAAUGAGUUUCCCAGCUCUUAUUGAAGUUGAUUGCAACAUCAACCGCGUCCAAUUUGGAAGAUCCAACGAACCAACAUUUAUUUCUUGGCAGUUUUGUCAAUUUCCUCACCAGCACGGAACCUAAAGAAGUUCCAAGGUUUAGGUGCCUAACGUGUAACGAUUAAGAGAAAAUAACCCAUAAUAUCAAUCAAUGAAACAUCGGAUGCCCAAUUCAAAAAGCCAAUCCCAGACAAACAAUACGGUUUCCGUUCCUUUAAAGUCACACACGAAAAGACAUUCUACAUAAGAUAGCUAAAGAUGAUUCAUAAUUGAGGGUUAAUAUGUUGGAACUUCUGUGUUCUUACCGGGUACUGAUCUACCAGAUAGAACUUCAAGGGCCGUAUAAAUAUUUUCAGGAUCUUUCGGUUGAAAAUCACAAACAAAGACCUGCAAAAAGCUAACAUUUACAGUGAUUAAUAAAUGGUUAAUUACUUAAUUUAACAAAACGAUCAAUUUAAAAAAUAUAUAUAAAAUAAUUAAAUUGAAGUGACCUGGGAGUGGGUAGGAGGAGAAAAGGGUUUGAUGACGACCAUGAAGUGCUGCAAAUCCCAUACAUUGAGGGUGUAGGCUGAAGACAUAAGCAACUGGGCAGGUCCUUUUGUGGCUCUUAAUGGCACUGCUGCCACGUACACUUCAUCUCUGCCUCUUGUUGCUGCUGCCGAAUUUGCAAAUACAGAAGCCAUUUGUGCUUUUCGUUCAAAACAGAACCGUUAAAAAGUAGUUAAAUACCGGAAAGGAUACUGUAGCGAUAAAAUUAUGAUCAGCGCAGCGAGUAUUCGUUUGAAUGGGCCUUAUAGCCCCUCUUGGUCCACUCAUACUAAACUGUGUAACCCAUUAAAAUUUGUUAUAAAUUAACCCAAAUAAUUUAAAUUUCUUUUUAUGAAAUUUAUUUAACUUACUACUCAUGUCAUGAAUAUUUCUUUCAUGAAGCACAAAAUGAGAAGUUCAAUCGCUCACAAUGUGCCCAUCGUAAAAUAUCUCUAACAUGUGUAAUGUAUGAAAUAAAUCGAUGAAAACAUAAAAAAAAUAUUUGUAUUCCGACCCUCCUUUGCCAAUUUUUAUUUUAUUUUAUUUUACCUUCACUAAUAAGUUGUUCGUAUUUUUUUAUGCCAAUAAUGUUAAGAUAUUGGAGGAUACUAAAUGUAAAUUAAUUCAAGAGUGAAACUAUUUGAACUCAUCAAAUUACUUAUUAAAUCUAUUUAAUCCUUACAUUCAAUACGAAAAUAGUAUUUUCACAUUUUACUCAGAUGUUUCCUAAAUUAUUCUUUAAUUUAUUAUAAAUCUCUAAUUUUCAAUUUAAACUUGCUUGUAAUGUUCUUCCACAUUAACUAGAACCGACUCCUUUUUCUCCAUCUUCCUUGCCAACCAUAAACUAUUUUCUACUGUUGACAAACUUGGCCUUUGCAGGAAAAAAAUCAAUUGAUACUUUAGUUUUUUAAUUUUGGUAGAUUCCAAAGAACUAUUUAUCAAAAAGAACUAGCCUUUAAAUUCUAAAGUUUCAAUUUGAAUGAGAGACUAAUUUUAUUUAGAUUAUAAAUAUUAAUAAAUCUCAUGUAUUUAAUAGUAAUUUAAUCAAAGUAUACCAUUGUAAUAUAAAAUUUAUUUUAUUUUAAAAAAAUAAAUUUGACCUUCGCUAUCUCUAAAAAUAGUCGUGAUUGAAUCUUAUUGCAGUAGCAUUUAAAACUUUGAUAUACAUUCUUUGUAAUACUCUUUGAUUUGAAUUCUAUUGUAGUGGCAUUUAAAGCUUUGAUUUACACUCUUUGUAUUUUGAUAUAAAAUAUGGUGUAUUGGAUCAAUAAUCAAUAAUGAAAUUCGAUGACAUAUAUAGCAAAUCCCCCACAUUUUCUCAGCAUUGUAGUAUCUAGGCCUCUUUCCCUCCCUGUUAACGUCUUCACUCUCACCCUCCACAGGCACAAGAAGUAAAUAACCAAAAGCACCUAAGCAGAGACCGUCUCUGCUUUCCGGCUAUCGUCCUUUUUAAAACCAGCGAAUGUAUAAUGAUAAAUAUCAAGUUUUAUGUGCCUAAUAGGCCGUCUUGGUUCAAUCGAACUGUGUGUAACCAUUAAAAUUUUUUAAAAGUUAACCAAGUAAUUUAAAUUGCUUUUUAUGAAAUUUAAUUCAGCACUAUUUCUCGUAUCAUGUGAAGCACAAAACUGAUGAGAGAUUCAAUCUCUGGCCAUUAUAAAGUGAAUAACAUGUGUAAUGUAUAAAGAAAUCGAUUAUAUAUAUAUAUAUAUAAGGUCCUUGUCCUUUCCACCAUUUUUUUAUUUUGUUCAAAUAAUAUUUGUUAAAAUAUUCGAGGCAUUAAAAAAAAAUUAGACUGUACCAUCAUUCUCACUCAGAUCAAAAGUGCAAUUUCACCAACAUCGGGUGAUGUAAUUUAAAUUCGAACUAAAACUCUCUCUUAAUAUGAUUUUUUUCUGAGCAAAUUUUAUGAAUUGACCAAAGGUUCAUAAAUGAAAAAAUAAAAAUAAUUAAAUUUUAAUCAUACACUAGUACAGUAGUAGUAGCACUAAUAUACAAGUUGCACAAAAUAUAUAAAAAAGUCAAAAGAAGAUUAGAUCAGGAGAGAAUCCUGAUCCUUUAAAUCCAGCUGUAUAAAACGACAUUUAACUUUUACAAUAUUAACCCUCAUCAUCUCUUAAGAUACCGCUUAUUUGAGUUCAUUUUUCAGGCAUCUUGGUUUUUGAUUAUACAUAGUUAAUCAUAUACGUAAACUAUUAGAUAAGAAUGAGAUUGUUGGAGUUGAAUCACCAGAUUGGUGGAGUUAAAUUGGAUUUCUUGUGUUAAUUUAUUAACCUAUAAGUGUGUGUGUGUGUAUAUAUAUUGGAGUCACUGCAACUUGCACUCUCGAUGGCAUAGGAGAGUGUUUGGGACAACUGCGCUAUAGCAGCGCAGCGAGUUUCCACCCUAUAUUUUAGAAAAUAUUCCCUAAGAAUAUGGUACGGAGAGCAGCUGCGCGGUGGUACCGCAGCUGGUCCAAACGCACUAACAGUCUCACUGCAUUCAUCAUAGCUUAAAGACUAACAGAAUGAAAUUCUUAAAACAGAAGGGGCAAAAACAUUAUAGAAAAUAUAUAUAAAAAAGUGUUUCCAUUAGUGCUUAUGUUCUUCACAAAUAUCGAUCAAUAAGUACGACCCAUCAUCCUUAUUGUUUUUUUGCUCGGAUAAAAAAGACAAACUAAUUAAUUAAUACUAAACUAUUUUCCAAUAUUAGCUUGAAAGACCAACCCUUGGUUAUACAGCCAUAUUUUGUUAAUUGGCAUCGAUCAUCACGAUCAUAUAACACCAUUUUGGAACAAAAUAUAUGUUAUGACACACUACAUAUAUAUAAUUUUAUUAUUAAGCAAAACAACUGAUAUAUAUUAUUAUUACUGAUUCACCAAGCCAAGUAGCCAACAACAUACUUGAGCUUCUAUUUAUAACAUACAAGCAAACAGUACAUAAUACACAAAUUUCAAGAACCCACCACUUGGCACCAACAACCCAAUUCCUCAUAGCACGUACCGAAAUUUCACCAUUAAGCUCAGACCAUGCUUUUUCUUUGAAUCAAUUCACUGAUCAUGGAUGUCAUGAUGAUCAGCUAUGUGGAGUUGCAAUUAAUGGUAGAUCCAAAAGUGGGGUCGUUUGCAGAUACCAAGACUCAAACAAAAUCCCUUAUUGUUACCGAAUACUAAAAUAUUUGAAACCACUGAACUAAAUUAACUUGGACGUGCAAAUUGGCCAUCAUUAGUUCUUACAAUAUUAUUACUCAGUCUUCUCAGCUGGGGCUUCAUCAGUGUCAGCUUUCUUCUCAGCUUCAGCUGGCUUCUCAACUGCAGGUUUCUCUUCAUCUUUCACUUCCUCCUUUGCAGCUUCAACUUCUGCCUCUGGCUUCUUCUCUUCUUCCUUGGCCUCUUUCUCAGCAGCUGGCUCUGGUGUCUCCGUUGGAGUAGUUUCCACUUCUUCAGUUUUCUCUGCGGUAGUCUUCUCCGCUGCUGCUGGCUGAUCUUCGGCUACCACCUCCUUUGUCUCAACUUCAGCUGGGGCUUCAGCUUCUGGAGUAACCACCGCUGCUUCUUCAGUUACAGCAACAGCUUCUGCUUCCUUUGCUGCUGGUGGCUCUUCAGCAACGGGUUCUGGUGCCACAGGUGCUGCAGAAGCUGAAGCAACUACCUCCUCUGUUUUAGUUUCUUCAGUCUUGACUGGUUCAUCAGCUGUUUUAGUUUCUUCAGCCUUGACUGGCUCCUCAGCUUUGAUCUCCUCGGAAAGAGCAGUCUUUGCUGACACAACCUGC
RNAcentral lists this long non-coding RNA (75393 nucleotides) under Citrus sinensis (sweet orange). RNAcentral describes it as "long non-coding RNA (CSIN_LNC000773)". Lineage: Eukaryota; Viridiplantae; Streptophyta; Magnoliopsida; Sapindales; Rutaceae. The record is from RNAcentral.